Molecule: long non-coding RNA, 57451 nt
Filed under: Gossypium barbadense (sea-island cotton)
Lineage: Eukaryota; Viridiplantae; Streptophyta; Magnoliopsida; Malvales; Malvaceae
Description: long non-coding RNA (GBAR_LNC015907)
Rfam family: tRNA (bases 10140-10213)
Source: RNAcentral
AGGUCAAUUAAGUUAAGAUUCAAUCAGCAAGUUUAUGUAUCACUUUCGACCAUAAAUAAAUUUAGAUAUCAAUACGAGAAAAUAAGUAUAUUUUAAGCAUUAGUUUGUUAAAUAAGCCUUCUUUAUUUUAUAUUAGUUUUAUUUGUAAAUUUGGUAGCAAAUCAUCGAAGCCAAGUGAAACUAAAUGGAAAAAAAUCAUUUAAAAUUGUAAAAUAUAAACAAAUUCUAAGAGAAACUCAAAUUAUUAUAGUUUUUUAAUUGCAUCUUUUUUAAAUUUUAUAAUUAUGAGUGUAUUUUAGAAAAUCAUAAAAUAGUUAAAAUUAAUUAUAAUAAUUUUAGAAUAAUUAUUUGGUAUACCAGUAAUAAAAAAUUUUAACUUCAUAAGUGAAAUUCUUAAACUUGAAAAAUAUAAAUAUUUGAGGUUAAUAAAUUCAUUUUAGUCAUUGGUCUUGAAAAUUAUAAAUGUUUGAUGACAUGGCACUUUGAGAUCGUACCACGUCAUCACCUUGAAAUUUAUAUAUAUAUUUAAAUUUUCAAGUGAUGACAUGAUAUAAUUUUAGAGUGUUAUAUAUUGUGUUUUAAUAGCCAAACUAAUGGUUGAAUCAAUCAAACUAUUAGCUCCCGAUUUAAUCGGUGAUUGGUUCAACUGCUAAACCAAUAAUAAAUAAAUAAUUAAAAAUUCAUAAUUUUUUAAACAAAAAAUAUUAAAUUGUUCAACCUCUGUCCUAGUUUUCACUUUUGAUUAGUUUCAAGCAGUUUUUUAUUCAAUUGAUUCAACCCAUUUAUUUUGAUUAGUAUAUUGGUUGGUUCUCGAUCCAAUUAGUCCGAUCAAUCAAUCCAGCCACAUAUCAUCAAAUGUUGAUGAGAUCCAAGUUCAAAGAUCAAAUCAAAUCUAGUUGCCAAGUUCAAGUAUCAAAAUAAACAAAAUAAAAAGUACAAAUACCAAGUGAACCUAAUUGCCAAAUUUAAGGGCUAAAAAUGAUAUUAUCCCUUGCAUUCAAAACAAAAUUAAAAUCGGGUCAUAGCCCGACCGAACCGGCUAUCAACAUUAUGCAUAAAAAAUAAAAAUAAAACCUAUAAUCGGACGGUGAGGAUGAGAUGGGGAACCUUCACCCAAAGUGGAUGGCAGCUUCCUAGCCAACACCAAGCACCACACCAUGGACCCACUCUUCAAAUCUAAUCUGUUUUUGCACCAAUUAUUCCCUGUUUCUUUGUUUAUUCCAUUUGGCUUUAUUUCAAACCACCUUAACCUAGGGUUCUUACUUCUUAAUAUACUUUUGAUCACAAAAGUAUCUCAUCUGAUGCUUUUGCCUGUUACCUUAAAUCGAGGGUUUUUUUUAAUUAAAUUAUUUUCCACUUUGUUUUUUUUUUGGUCGAAAUUAUUUUUCCACUUUGUUGAUUGUUAUUUUAAAUACACACUUUAUUGAUUGUUGAGAUCUUAAAUAUGUAUCAAAAAAAAAAAAGUCUUAUUUUUCCAUAUUUUCCAUUAUUUUUUUAUUCUUUUAAUUCAAUCCAAAAAGUAAUGCAUUAAAAACAAUUUUAUAUUGAAGUCGGUUGAAGGGUGAUUAGGCUAUCAUUUUAUCUUUUGUUAAUUUUAAUUAUCCAAACAAGAGAUACAUAAUCAUUUAGUUUGUUUUUUUUUUCAAUUUCUCACUCUUUUCCUUUGUUUUUUCUUUCGUUGCUUUUAAUCCAAAUAGUGUUAAAAAGUGUUUGGUUUAAAUUAAGAAAGGGAUGGGAAGUUUCUUUUCCACAAAAGAAUACCGAAUUAUAAGAAUAUGGUUUAACCUGUAUUUCUUUUAAAAUAUGACCAUUAAAUCAGUAUCUUAAAUUCUCAUAUAAUGAAGAAAAAUAAUCUAAGGUAAAUCAGUAGUUACUGAAACAAUUCUGGAGUAGAUAAAAAUAAGGUUAAAAUAUGUGGUUGUGAGCAUGUGAUUACAUAUAAUAAUUCACCCAUAAAGUUGAUCAAUGCUUAAGUUCGAAUCUAUAUAUAAAUUAAAGCACAUGGUUCCCAAAUUCUGGAACCUUUUAAAAGCACGCUAAAGCCCAGUCACUCCACGAAUGCCGGGAGCAAUGAUCUUCAGACUUAAGAUUUGUUCGAAACAUAGGAUGCUUUUCUUAAUCAUACAAUAAUCGGAUUUAGUCCUAUUUAACAGUUAGGAAUAUUUAAUUGGAUUUUAGGUACAUUUUCUUUAUGCUCUUAGUAUAUGAACUGUCAUUCUAAUACUUAUAUUUAGAAAGAUAAAUAUUUUAAUAUAAUAUCAUUUGUAUAAUCACUUUCUAAAUUAGUGUCUAAUGUUUGUAAUUUAAAGAGUGCUUGAAAAGUUACAUAAUAAUUGAAUUUAGAUGUAAUUUAUUGUAAUUACACAAGUGUAACAUGCAAUGGUAGAGUCAGGGAGGCUGGUAGGAGUCCUGACCCUCCUAAAAUGAAAAAAUUUAUAUUUAUGCUCUUUAUAAUUUAUAAAAAUUUAAAUUAAGAAUAGUAAAAUGGCACUUUGCCCCCCAAAAAUAAUAAAAAUUUGAUUUAAUCAUUUAAAAUUUAUAAAGAUAUAUACCAUUAAAAUGGUGAAAUUACAUUUUUACUAUCAUAAAAAUAUAUAAUUUAAAUCUAGCCCCCUAAAAAAUUUUCUAACUCCGACACUGGUGACAUUCUAAAUAACUAUUUUAAAGUUUUUUAAAUAUAAAAUAUGUAAUUGUGUAAUUACACUAAACAUGACACAUAGAAUUGCAAUACAAUUAUACUUUGUCAACUAAUUAUUUUGUAAAAACUAUUUGAAUAAUUACACUUACAUUCAAUUAGUUUGAAGGUUAUAUUAGAGUGAUUGACAUAUAUUGGGUUGAUAACUAGUUGGGCAUGUUGAUUAAAUUUUAGCAGUAGCUAAUACGAAUUGUAUAGUACCAAUUGGAAGAUUGCAAAUUAAGGGUUUUGUCAUUCCCGUAUAUAAAAACAAGAGACAAUGGGUAGACAUACAAUUACUCACCACCAUAAUAAAGUGCAGGACAAUUUAUGAAAUUGAAUAAAAAAAAGGGAAGCUUGGUUGGGAUUGAGUUGUCAUGACUGCUAGCUAAUUACUUACUGGGACCAUCUUUAUUGGAUUAAAUAAUAAGAAGUUGUUAUUUUUUUAAAGUAACAUUUUGAAUUUAAAUUUCAUUGACAGAAAAAAGAAAAUUAAAAUAUUUCUAUUAUUGUUUACGAUUUAAUUGAGAUAUAAUAUAAUUAUUUAAUAAAGGGUUAAAAAGGGACCAUUGUCGGCCCUUUACAAAGUAGGGACUCCUAUUUUGGGAUAUUUGUACUUUAACAAAGCUAUUGCUUUUACUGGAGGCAAAAACUGAAGUAAAAUCAUUGAACCUGGUGGUGGUGGUGGUGGGGAUCCAAAGCCAGCCUGUUAUUUUUGGCUAAUAUUAUGUGGUGACUCAUUUGCCAACCAUUUUAGAAACGCUAUAAAUACUAUAGAAGUACAAGUAUAAUAGAUUAUUGGCAGUUUAUAAAUCAAUUUUAGAAGACAAAAAGGUAAAUUAAAAUUAGGACUUUUUUAAAACAAUCGGAGCAGUCAAUGAUAAUUAGGAUGCCUCCUACCGAGUUAAUAAAGAUAAGAGAGGUUGUUUUGGACACGACCAACCUCUUUCUUCUAUAGAUAUUCUACUUUAGGAAUAAAAUACUCGAUUGAGUUAAACCUACAAACUAAAUCUUAAUAUAUAUUUGUAUGUAAAUAAUUGUCACAUUUAUUCCACGUCAGAUUUGGUGUUCAUCUGGUAACAUUAUGGCUGGUAGCUACCUAGCUUUCAUUUCGACAUUAUGCGAAUCAAAAAAGGUACAUUCGGUUUGGGUCGUGAAACUAAAAACACGUAUUAUGUAGGUCCACUAUUUCGUAAAAGUACAAAAACGUGAUAGUUUUUAAGUGGUUUCGAUUUUCAACCCUUCUUCCCCCCCCCCUCUCUCCUUAUUGGCAGUCUCUUUUCUACGUUCAAUGUGAAGCUUCCAUCUAUUUUUCUCCCCCUUCUCUCUUAAUUAUUUCAAAUAUUUCCAUUCUUUCAUUAAUGUAACAGUCGAAAUUUUGAUAUUCCGGUCAUUUUACAAUUUAAAAAUUAUCUCCUCUACUGCUAUCAUUUUUAAUAAAAUAAUUUGAACAGAAUAAAAUAAAAAAUUCAAAUGUUAUAAAUAAACUUAAGAAAAUAACACAUACUUUUCUAUCUUUCGAUGAGAAUUAAAAUAAUUUAAAUAAUACAUAAUAGCCGCUUAAUCAUACUUCCAUUACAAUAUAUAAAAAGUAAGGGUGUUCAGUCGGUUAAUCGACCCGAAAUAACAUUAAUCGAAUUAACCGAGUUUUCAAAAUUUUUAACUGUUAACCAAACCGAAAUUUUUUCGGUUAAUUCGGUCGGUUAAUGAAAUUAACCGAAAAUUAUAUGGUUUUUAUUUUUGGUUAAAAAUUAACCGAAUUACCGAAAUUAACCAAAUUAAUCGAAUUACCCGAAUUAACCGAAUUAAAUCACUCCAUAAUUAAAAAUAUUACAUAAGUCUUUGAAAUUUAUUUUUAUUUAUUAAAUUAUUUGUAAUUUUUAUAAUUGGGUUGGGGUGGAUACUUGGGUUUGGAUUGGGCUUAAGUGAAUAGUGGGCCUAUUCAUAUAUUAUAAUUUUAUUUAUUAAUUUUUUCGGUUAACCGACUGGUUUCGAACCGAAUUAACCGUUAACCGAAAAAUCAAAAAAUAAUUAACCGACCCCUGACUGAAAAAUUCGGUUAACAGACCGAUUAAUCGAAUUUUUCGGUUUUACCUGAAUUUUGCACACCCCUAAUAAAAGGAAAUACAUCAAGGUUUGUAUAGGAGUCAAUUCGUCUUCACGUGGACAUGUCCGGUAUUAGUAAAUGUAUAUUUUGGUUACUGAACUGUUUAAAAUUUUUUUAUUUUAAUUAUUAAUUUAUUUAAAUAUUUUUAUGUAAGUCCCUAGAUUGUUAAUUUUUUUUUCUUUUUAAAAGAUUGGCUAACAAGUUUCAUGCGACGAUUCAAUGAUUGGUACAAUAGAUCAAUGCCAAUCGACAAGUAGGAGAAUAAAUCUUAGGUCUAAGUCAAUUCGGAGAUUGGUAGAAAAAAGUGUUCGGAUUUUAGGUUUCAUAGAUUCAUGACAUUCAAUAUUGUUUGAAAAAAAUAAGAAUUGUAGAAGAGAAAGGAAUGAGACAUUUCAAUCAGUGCAAGCGGUUAAACAAAGGUGGUCAUACAGGCUAUGACAGCUAUUUUAACUGUCCAAUUAGUUAAAUGAAAACGUUUAAAUAGUUCACUAACUGUUUUUUAAUUUUUUGAAAUUGGGUGAUCAAAACAUAAAAUUACUAAUAAUUUAGUGACUUUAGAUGCAAUUUACUCUAAUAUCAUUUGGUUUUCUAUGGAAAAGGAAGGGAAAAAAUGUAUUUUUAUAUUAUUUUUGUGUAUAUUUAUAUGAAAAAAUAUUUUAUUUUUAAAUAAAAUGUUUAAAGUAAUUUGUUGUCAUAAUUCAUGAAGACUAUAGGGUGAAAAAGAAGACAUUAUAUUAGAAGUAUUGAUAAACGAAAUCACCUAAGAAUGACGUUUUAGGCUUUCAUAUAUGCCAUGGUGACUUCGAAUAAGAAAAAAGAAAAGCCGCCAUGGUUGCGAGCUACCAAUUUAGUUGAAUUUAUCCUCUAGCGUUUGAGGUAUAUUGGAUCCAAACUAGGUAUUGUUAUCAAUGAUCCAAGCCUGUGUUGAUUCGGGCCUUUGUCGACUUUAGACCGAAAUGAACAUUAUAUUCGUAUUUAUUAAGAAAAUUUAGAUUUGGAAGACCGUCUUUCUUAAUUUUAAGCUUAAUCUUAUAUUAUUGGUUUUGUCUGAGUUAAGUACUUAAAAUUAUUUUCUGUUCACCUGGCUACCUAAAUUUUGAUUAUGCUAUUGAAGUGGGUAUCUGCCAUUAAAGCCGUUAAAAAAGAUUCUAGCCAAUGAAAUUGUGCCAUGUCACUUUAAAAAUAUAAUUAAGAAUACUUUUAAAUUAAUUCUAAUUAAAAAAGUUAUAGUGCUAUUAAAUAAAAAAUCCUCCCUCCCCACACCAUCCCCUCGAAGGAAUGCCAAGUUGGAUAUUUUAUACAUUUUGAUCAAUAUAUAUACGCUUUCUGCCAUUGCUCAGAAGCCACGUGUAGAACUACAACUCAUAUUGUAAUAUGCUUUGAUUCUCAUUUUAGUGAUGCACAUAUUUCCGAAAAAAAUAAAAGUAAUCCUCGCAACGCUAGAGUUGGCAGUAGGGAGAGAUUCUAGCUCACUGCAAUUUGAUUUUAUAUUAAUCAAUUUUACUGGAAAUUGAGGAAAACAAAUUUACAAACCUUCAUUUUUCAUUCAAAUACUAUUUAAUAUAUAUAGUAUUGUUAUAGUAUAUUUAAAUGAUAAUAAUACUGUUUUUAGAAUACAUUAUUUUAUAAUAUUCGUGAAAAAUAAUAGUUUUAAAAAUUAAAUUUAAUAUAUUAUAUCGCACGAGAAUGAAAAUUGAAUUUGAAAUAUAAUAAAUUUUAUUUCGUCAACUGUUAAUAGGUAUAAGUGGGUGUAGAGUGAUAUUGAAUAUUUAUUAUUAUUUUAUUAAUAAUUCAGUAAUUUUAAUGAAUGAUUUAAUUUUUAAAAGUGAGUGACCAAAAUAUAAAUUUAUUAAUAGUUAAGUGGUUUGUGUGUGGUUUAUCCUUUUUAAAUAUAUUUUAUUUUUUUAAAACAAACACAUAAAAGUUAAUUUUUGGCUAAACAUCCAAACUUCGCAAUGCACGUGUUGUUUUGUUCAUAUUCUUACACUUUCCUAUAAUCUCUCACCAAACAAAACACCCUUACAGAAAAAAAGCCCAAAUAAAAUUGCCGGCCGUGCCAUUGUUUCAUACAAAAUCAAACUGACCGUACAGUUCCCAGAACCCAAAUAUCCUUAAAAAAAAAAAAAGCUUUUGGGGUUAUGGUUUACUUUGGCUGUGCAUUGUCCUCGAAAGAACUUCCUCUGUCAUUUUAAUUUUGGAUAAUUUACUAUUUUUUGUUUCGUUUUCUUUUUGGUCUCAAUUUUAAGUCAUUAAAAUGGGAAAGAGAAGGGCAAGCUCCCAACAUCUUAAUCAUCAUAAUCUCCACCUUCCUUCUUCUUCGGGUACGUUUAUUUUUUUCUUUUUUAUUUUGUUCCAAUCUAAGUUUGAAGCCUUUUAGGUACAUGAAAAAUGUUCGAAAUUUGGUAUGCCGCCAUCGUAAUUUUUCUUCUUUCUUUUUUAAUUUUGUUAAUUUUUCUGGCUUGUUGGGUCAAGGUUUUAUUCAAUUAUUCAUCAAUAUUUGAUCUGGGUGUGUACUUCUUAUUUUCUCUGUUGAUUACACGGUUUUAAUUUCUUGAAUUGUUUAUUAUCAUCAUUAUUAAUGCUUGUUUUUUGAUGCUAUUUGAUUUGGAGUGUUGUGGGAUUCUAUGAAUUAUGAGAUUUGAAGAGAAAAAAAAGAGUUUCAUUUAUGGUAUCAAAUAGGUUGGAGAAUCAUAUUCUUGUAUGUCUCUUCAAUGGUUACUUUUGUUGAUACGGUUCUUGGCCUUUAGGGGAGUUUUAGUUAUGAAAAAUUGAUAUCAGAAACCAGGGCUAGAAUGUUUUGUCUGUUCCUGGCCUAGAAUGUUCCGGAUGAACACAGGUUCGUCUGGCUUCUUUGCGCUUUUACGUUACGGAAGUGUUGUAUUUUAUUUUGAUCAUACAAACCUUCAUGGUGUUGUGAAACUUAGGAGAUUUCUGUUCAUAAACAUUGCAAACUAUGCCCAAUCUUAACAGGUAUUGCGGGGAUGAUUAAUGGAAAAUUUAUAGGUAACAAACUAACAAUAGCUUAAACAAUUUUGCAGUCUACCAUUAAUAUGUAUAUAUUCUCUUUGAAAUUUUUGUGCUCUUUUUCAUUUGAUUGGAAGCUGUUUUGCAUCUUAUUUACUAAACGUAGGACCUAUUAGAUUGAGCAUUUGUUUGCAGUAUCAUCUAGAUAUUAGGUCUUUUAUAUAUGUUAUUAAGUUGAUGCACAUUGGUUCGGGUUAGAAAAGGUGGUUCAAUACUUUUCUUUUGCUACCUUGAUGUGGUCAUAAUGAGAUUGUGGUGAUCAUCUUGGUCUCGGUAGAUGAAAUAUGUCCGUGCAAUGGAUUGGUUUAUCUUCAGCUUUAUAAUCUGAUAUUCUGAAAGUGCUAAAAAUUCUUUGUCUUUAUAAUGCGAAAGUUAAGAAUAUGGAUAAUGGUUGUGCUCUUUAUUAAAUAUUGCAGCAGGCAUGCCAUGCUCAUCGGGAACAGAGUUAUUAUCCAACGAGGUUUUGUACUUUUCCUUGUUCGUUACUUGGAUAUAAUAAUGUUUUUGCCCCUCCAUCUCUUUGUCAACUGGAUGGUCUGCAAUAGUUCAUUGAUUUUUUUUAUCUCUCUUUGUUUUAUAGCCUUCAUUCAAUUUGGAUGCUGGCAUGGAUGUUAGAGAUGGUUCAAUGAAGCUACUAAAUCCCAACUCUUCAGUUGGUCAACGCCAUUACAAUUUCGGGCGUUCGAUAUUUUCAAAACGAUCACGCCGUUACUAUGACCAGCAUUACCAAUUCCAAAACUUUGGCAACCAUUCUAAUCCAUCAACUUCUCGUGCCAAGAUUAGUCCUUUACAUGAUGAGAGGUUGUCGUUCAAGUUCACUGAUUCCAGCCAAGAGCCUGGACGCCAAUCAGGUUACAUGCAUCUUUUAUUGGUUUUCAUGCCAUGAAUCUGUUUGUUUCCAUAGCAUGUGAUAGUGUGAAUGAAUCUUUUAACUUAUCAAAAUCGGUGCAUAAAUGAUAAAACAAGAUAUCGAGAUUUCAUAGCCAAAAUUAAGUGUUUCAUUCUGGUUUAUGUUUUGCCAUGCUAUCUAAAGUGUCCCAACUUCUACAGAUGGUAGACAAAAAGCGUUCGGCAGACCCGAAAGGAUUAGGUCCAGUUUGUUGGUGACGGAUCCGGUAUCACCUGACAAGGUGAAGAUGAUUUGUGGCCUAUGCCAAAAGCAUCUGAGACGGAAACCGUGUUUUCUCGGAAAUACCCUGGCUUCUACUGAAUUCUCUGUCGUGGCAGUUCUAGUUUGCGGGCAUGCAUAUCAUGCAGAUUGUUUGGAAGGGAGAACGAGUUUCGAGAACAGGCGUGACCCGCCAUGUCCUUUAUGUUCAGGUUCCCCAUCACAAGUUUGAUGGUUCGAACAAGAAAGAAGUGAUUAUGCAUAUAGAUGUCCACAUAAAAUUUAUCAUACUAAAUUUCUGAAAGUAUUAUAGGAAAUGAAUGUAGGCUGUUUGUUGUGAUGAAAGGUGAAGGUUUACACAUUAGGAUCUUAACCAGGUAUUUUGUAUUUUGCUAAGAUUAGAGCUAGUUUAGUACCCUGAAGGCUUUUCUUCUUGUACCUUAAAACCUAUUACAGUGAAGGUUUACAAAUUAGGAUCUUAACCAGGUAUUUUGCAUUUUGAACAACAAGACAUCAGUAAUGGCAUGCAAACGAAGCAAGUUAUUAGAAAUUUUAUCAGUAUGCACAUGAAAACUACCUCUGUAUAACAUAGGGAUGUGUUUAAAAUAACAUAUAAUAAAUAAUAGGUUAAAAUAUGUCUAAAAAGUCCUUGUACUUUUCAAAGAAUUUAGAUCUUUUAAUUAUUUGGAUACUAAUUGAGUAGGUUUUGCUUUUAUUUUAAAACGUCAUAGUAUCCAAUUUAAUAAAAAAAAUUAACAGUGUUAACAGUUAGAUUUGAAUAUUAAAAUCUGAAAAGUAAAGGAAUUAAAUUUCUAAAAAUACAAGUAUAAUAAGAAAUAAAUUCUCAAUUUUUAAAAAAUAUAAAGAUUAUAGACACAUUUUAAUCUAAAUAAUAAAAUUUAUAAUUUCAAACUAAGUAACAAUAACACAUGUAAUAUAUAUAGGAUAUUAAUCUAAAUUACACAAAUACACUUAAUCCGAAAUACGCAAUCAUACUCAUCAAACCGUAUGGACAGUUCUCAUUUUGGUAAGUAGGACAACGAGAUAUUAUUCCUAGUUCGAUUAACAAUUUUCCUCAAAAUUUAUACGUCUUUAUAAAAAUAAAUAAAUAAAUAAAGCUGAAGGAUAAUUCGAUUAACCAUCACAAGCAAAGUUGAAUUUAAAUUAUAUUGAGGAAAUCAUUUUGUUAAGAUAUUAAAAUAAAUAAUAACAAAGGAUCACGUAAGGACCGCAUAGCGCAGUGGAUUAGCGCGUUUGACUUCGGAUCAAAAGGUCGUGGGUUCGACUCCCACUGUGGUCGUAGGUUUUAUGUUCUGCAUUUUGGGCUUCGGUAUUCUAUAGGCCCAACCAUCCUUUUGUUGUGCAAUAAGGUCAAAUACAUUGGAUUUAAUUUUUAAUCUCUGAAAAUAUCAAAGAAACAAAAUGAAUCUUUUCGGUGUUGUUAGUAAUAAAUAAAUAACAAUGAAAAAGAGGUCUUUUUUCCUUAUUGUAAUAAAUGAAUCUUUAUGAGAUUAUAUGAAAUCAAAAUAUUACACCAAUGGCGUGUAGGGACCGCAUAGCGCAGUGGAUUAGCGCGUUUGACUUCGGAUCAAAAGGUCGUGGGUUCGACUCCCACUGUGGUCGAUGCUUUUUUUGUGUUCUUCAUUUUGGGCUUUCAAUAUUAUAUAGGCCCAGCCAUCGUUUUUUUUGUGCAAUAAGGUCAAAUACAUUGGAUUCAAUUUUUAAUCUCUGAAAAUGAAUCUUUUCGGUGUUUUUAGUAAUAUAUAAAUGACAAUGAAAAAAGAGGUUUUUUUUUUCCUUAUUGUAAUAAAUGAAUCUUCAUGAGGUUAUAUGAAAUUAAAAUAAUAAUAUGUAGGGACUGCAUAGCACUGUAGAUUAGCUCCUUUGACUUCGGAUCAAAAGGUAUACAAACAAUUCCUCUCAAAAAAUAUGAUAUAAAUAAUAUGAUGUCCUAGAACUUAAAAGAAAAACGAAUUAUUUGAGUUUGUUUAUUUGAACUUUUUAAUUAGUUCAUUUUCAUUGCGGAACUGACUGAUUGUCUUCCACUACAAUAAAUGAAUCUUUUCUUGUAGGAAAGACUAUCCGAUAUUUUCUUUAUAUUUAUAUAUAUUUAAAAGAAAAAAUAAAUAUUAAUAUAAUAAUUUUUUUUUCAAAAUUGUGUAUCCUUUAACAGAUUAACUACGAGUCUCAUUCGAAUUUGAUUGAAAAUGAAAAUUGGCUUUUAGUAUUAUUAGGCCCAGCCAUCCUUUUUGUGUGCAAUAAGGUCAAAUGCAUUGGAUUUAAUUUACUAAAGAGACCCUUUUUAAAUUAAAAUUACUUUUAAACCCAAAAACAAAAAUAAUUUUUUAAAAAUAUAUUAAAUAUAAUUAUAUAAAUAAGGGUUAAGAAUAUUUUAUGUAAUAUUUAAAUACAAGGUUUAUAAAUAUUUUUGUUGAAUUUUUUUAAAUAUAUAUCAUUAUAUGUUUAAAUUUAUAAUUGUUAUAUUUUAAUCAUAUUUAAAAUAUAAUUUAUAUAUUUAAAUUAAAUUUUACAAAUAAUUAAUAUUUAUAUCUAUCUAUAAAUAUUUAAAAUUUAUAUUUCACAUAUUAAAAUAUUUUUUUUAUUUUCGUACUAAAAUAUUAUAAUAUUAACGGAUUUGAAUAUUAUUUAAAUGCGCAUUUAAACUUCACAACAUUAUAUUUAAAAUUAACAUUUCAUUUCUAAAAAUUAUUUUUUGACGACAAUAUUCAACAUUCAAAAUUUAAAUUAGACUUUUCAAAACCGUGAUCUAAAAACAAUAUGAAAUGCAGUUUCUAUAAUUAAUGAGAAAAUGUAACAUCAAAAGUUUAGGGAAAAUGUUAGCAGGGUAAAAAUUUGGAUACUAAGAAGGGUUAAGCCCAUGUAUUACUAUCCAAGCUGGAAAGUGUAAUUGAAAAUAUUCAAACUAUGGCAUACUUAAUUAAAAAUAUGAACAUAGAUUAAAAAGUUAAGUAACUUACUUACCAUUUUAAUGGAUUUUUACUUUCACGCAAACAAGUUGCGUAUACACUUACAUUACAUUACAUUAUGUCUUACUCUAAUGAUUUAUUUUUAUGUAAAAACCGGUUUGGGAAAAAGAAAUUCUAAGUGAAUUUUUUUAUUGGCUUAAUGAUAAAUUUGAUCAUUAAUGUUUAUAUGGUUUGUUAAGAUAAUCCUAAUUGUAUUUUUGAGUUUUUUUGUCAUCAACCUUUAUUUUCUUUUCUUUUUUUUCAAAUUGUUUUCUUUUAACAGAUUUGAUGAAAGUACAGUUAAAAUAAUUAACGAGAUAAUGUGGAAUAUUUUUAAUGAGAUGUAAUUUAUUACUUAGAUAAUCUAAUAAAAUAAUUACAUGUGGAAAAUAAUAAAAUAAAUAAUUCAUGAAGUUAAAAAAAAAAGAUAUCUCUUAAUUUAAAGAAAAUUAAUGUAAUUAUCUAAAAAAUGUUUCAAAAUGAAUGCACGCAUUCGGUAAUUUUUGUUUGAUUUAUUAAUUAUCUUUCAGUAAACAAAUGUAUGUGUUCAUUUUGAAACUUUUUUUAGAUAAUAAUUUUUUUUUCACAUGUAAUUGUUUUAUUGGGUUAUAUAAGUAAUAAAUUACAUCUCAUUAGAAAUAUUUCACAUCGUCUCCAUUAAAAAAUUUUAACGAUACUUUCAUUAAAUCUGUAAGAAAAAAAAAACAGUUUGAAAAAUAAAAAACAAAAGUUGAUGAUAAAAAAAAGACUAAAAAAAAUACAAUUAAGACAAUUUUGAUAAAAUAUAUAAAUGGUAAUGGCCAAAUUUAUCUUUAAGCCUAUUUUUAAUUUUUUUCCAUGAAAUUUUGUUUCACCCAUCAACUUCAUUCAAACCUUGUAGAUUUAUGUAGGGUUUAAUAAAAAAAUAAUUUAAGUAGAAUUAUUAGAAUUGAAUUGAAUUCUAUCGAUUUGUAUUUUAUAAUUAAUUUUUUUUUGAAAAUAAAGAUUUAUAUUUAAAUAAUGAAAAUAACUUUAAAACAUGAUAUAAUGAAAAUAUUAUAUAUGAGUUAUAAUCUUAUUUAUUUUCUUGAAAACUUAACUUUUUUAAAGAAUAUUUAUGAAAAGCAAUUUUGAAAUUUUACCAAUAGCAUCUAAAAGUUAUAAAGCAAAAUUCUAUUUUGUCAAUAACCCAAAACCUAAAUAGAAAAAGCAAAAAGCAAAUCAAAGUGAAUUAUUAUGAAUAAUCUAAUAAUAUUAAAUAAAUUUAAAAUUUGAAUAUUGAAGUAUAAGAAAAUGGUUGAGAUGAAAAAAAAAAUGAAGAUUGAGUAGAAACUUGAAAUUUUAUACAAAAGUAAUGUUUUAUUGAAAAUUCAAGUAAUCUAAAUUCUACAAUGCUUCUACUCUAAUUUUUUUUUAUAUGUAUUUUAUAGUGUUGGAAAAUUAAUAUAUUAUUUCCAAAAUUUCAACUUAAAUUUUAAUAUGUUUUAUUGUUGCACACGGUCUCCAAAUAACUUUUAAUUUACCCUGAUUUUAAAUAAAAUCCUGGUUUUUUUUUUCACUUUUUAACAUACGGAUAUCCUUCACCGAUCAUUAAAAAAAAAUCUGAAAAUAUAAAACCUGCCUUUUACUACAAACAUCCCAAAAAGAAGGACAAGAAAGAAAAAAACAGUGUUUAAAUUUUCAUACUUAUUAGUUUUCUUACUCCAAUUUUAGAAGCUAUAUUCCAUAAAUCCACAGUUCUUAAAAAGAUUUUAUAUUUAUAAAAAAAUUAUUAAAAACACCUAUAUACUUUUAAGAUGUGGUUUUAUUAGCGUAAAUUAAAUAAUUAUGGUACAUCUUAAUCUAAUUUGAUGUAAUCAAACUAAAAGUAGAACACAGAAAAAGAUUCGAAUCUUCCCUCUCGAACAUUCCAUAAUAAAAUGCGAAUCUGAUGGUUGCAAAUUCAUUACACUCAAAAUUUUCCACCAAUAAAUUAUUCUCAGUUUGCUUCUGCAAUUUUUUUAACUUCAACGUUUUGCCAGCUUAUAUUCUUCAUAAACCUUAAACGACAUCAUUUUUUUUGCUCAUCUGCUUCUCUGCCUCUCUGCCGUCAAAUCUCUGUAACUCUACCGGAAAACUUCCAUUUCUUGUUGUCGGGAAAAGGGUAGUUGGCAGUUAAAACAGUUAAACUUCCAAAGGGUUCUUUGUCUUUCUUGGUAUCUUGUUUUCUUUUCUUCUUGGUGGAUAUGGUGAUGAAGGUAGCGUCGCCCGAAAAAGUUGUUUCAAUUACAGAGAAGGUAUGGCAGAGAGUUUACGGCGGCAUCAACAACAACGGCUAUUAUUAUCAUCAUCAUCGUAAACAUCGAAGGCGGUGUUCAUAUGAGAGUGAAGAUGAAUACGAGGAUGAGGAUGGAACCAUACAGUUGAUGCAGAUGGGUGCUGAACGAAGCAAGAAUGUGCUGAUUCUCAUGAGUGACACAGGUGGUGGCCAUAGAGCUUCAGCCGAGGCUAUUCGAGAAGCCUUUCGGAUCGAGUUUGGAGAUGAAUACAGGGUGAUUUGCUUGUUUCUAUCAUUUCUUUUUCAUCUGUUCAUCUAGAUCUACAAUUUAAUUUACCAGGUAACGGAUUUUCCUAUGUUCUUUUCAGAUAUAUGUGAAAGAUGUCUGGAAAGAAUACACAGGCUGGCCAUUGAACGACAUGGAAAGGUCUUACAAGUUCAUGGUGAAACAUGUACAACUCUGGAAAGUAACUUUUCACAGUACUUCUCCUAGAUGGAUACAUAGCAGCUAUCUUGCUGCCAUUGCUUCCUAUUACGCCAAGUAUGUUGAUCCUUAUUUCAACAUAAAUUUCAUUUUCUAAUUUCAUCACAACUUAAAUUAUGUUAUCUGUCAUUGAAGGGAGGUUGAGGCUGGUUUAAUGGAAUACAAGCCAGACAUUAUCAUAAGUGUACAUCCAUUGAUGCAACACAUUCCUCUCUCAGUUCUUAAAUGGAAAAGCCUUCAAAAGAAAGUUAUCUUUGUUACUGUAAUUACAGACCUCAAUACCUGUCAUCCCACAUGGUCAGUUCAUCAAAAGCCUGUAAACUUCUAGAUUUCCAUUUUAUAUCCAUGUUCCUUGAUAUCUUUAAACAGUUGAAAAUUCGGUUCAGGUUUCAUCCAAGGGUUAACAGAUGCUACUGCCCUUCAAAGGAGGUAGCCAAAAGAGCUUUAUAUGAUGGUCUUGAAGAGUCCCAAAUCCAGGUUUUUGGUCUUCCGAUUCGGCCUUCAUUUGCUCGUGCGGUUCUUUCCAAGGUUGAGGAUCUUACCAGACAUAACAAAACAAUCAAUCUUUAUAUCAUGGUCUUUUUUUUAUGCAUUCUUCUUGUCUAUGUAUUGUAGGAUGAUUUAAGAAAAGAGCUCGAGCUAGACCCUGGUUUGCCUGCUGUUUUGCUGAUGGGAGGGGUUGAAGGAAUGGGGCCUGUUAAGAAAACAGCCAUGGUUCUCGGCGAAUCAUUAUACGAUAACGAUCAAGGGAAACCAAUAGGGCAACUAAUCAUAAUAUGUGGCCGAAACAAAGCCCUUGCCUCUACAUUGGAAUCACUGGAAUGGAAGAUCCCAGUGAAGGUAAUUUCAUUGAACUUACCACAUGUAUGCAACAAACAGGCAAUUAAUGAGAAACAGUCAGUUAAACAAUGUUUUCCCUCCACUGCAGGUCAGAGGGUUCGAAACCCAAAUGGAGAAAUGGAUGGGAGCUUGUGACUGCAUAAUUACAAAGGUAAGAACCUAUAUUUGCACAUAUUCUUGCUUAAUAUACAUAGAUUAAUCUGUCUAAAUGAAAUUACAGGCUGGUCCUGGUACCAUUGCAGAGGCCUUGAUUAGGGGACUUCCAAUUGUUCUCAAUGACUACAUUCCAGGACAGGUUUAGUUACGAUUACUUAGAAGAUGUGCUUCAAUGGCUUCAACUUUUGCCGUCCUUAACCAUUACCCUUCAUUUUUUUAUUGCAGGAAAAGGGUAAUGUACCUUACGUAGUAGACAACGGAGCAGGCGUAUUCACCAGAAGUCCGAAGGAAACAGCAAGAAUCGUGUCGGAAUGGUUCAGCACGAAGACAGACGAACUCAAAAGAAUGUCGGAGAAUGCUCUUAAACUAGCACAACCAGAGGCCGUCUUUGAUAUUGUAAAGGAUAUCCAUGAACUUGCUUGUCAAAGAGGACCUUUAGCCAACAUUCCUUACGACUCAACAUCCUCAUUAACAAACGUAAUUUAAUAGAUAACCUCUACAUCUUCCAUAUAACUAAGAUUUGUUUUAUAGGUAAAGCUUUAUUCUUUGGCCACUAUGGUCUGCUGAAAAAGUGUGUAAAUUAGGUUAAUGUGAAAGUUGAAAAUGUUGUAGUGUUGCAGUUUUUUGGUUUGGUUUGGUUUCUUUUCACUUAAUAUGGCAUUACGUUUCUGCUUAAAGUUUGGUCUUUGAUAUUUAAGCUAAGGAGUAUAGUUUAAGUGUAAAACCAAAAGUCUGCUACACUUGGAAUGACGUUUUGUUCUUGCUUCAAAGUUAAGGCAAAAUUCUGAUUGGAGGUAAGCUUGCUUAAAUGAAUUAAUAUGUUAAAAGCUAUAAAUCAACAUCAUUUCCUUUUUAUUUAUUCAUUUUAAUUAAAAGCCAACAACCAUGUAUUUCCAAAAACACCACUUGCUUCUGUCAGUGUCUGGUAGAUUUUAAUUAUUAAUGCAGUGCUCAAAAAAAUACCUUCGUAUUCCUUUUUUUCUAUAUAUUUAUAUAAUUUUUAACACCUUAAAUAGUUUGAUAUAUUUGUAUAUUUGAAUAAUGUUGGUGUUUUUUUUUUUUUUUUUGGAAUUAUGCUUUAAAUUUUACUCUAUUUUUGUUCAGAAUCUUAAAUAAUAAGCAACAUAUCAAACACCAACAACCAAUGAUGGUUUUAUAACUUUGAAGUACAUAGAAAAAUUUAAUGGCAACACCCCAAAAGAAUGCAAAAUAUUAAUGGGGAAUGUCCCAAAAAGGACAGUAACAAAGGGAAAAUGCUAUUGAAGAGUUGGUUGGAAUCUGAAGGGGUACUGGUAGGUUUGACUCUUCAUUCAAAGGUAUGAUUAAAACCAAAGAAAAUGUUAUUUGAGAUGUGCAUGAAAAGAUUGAUAAUGAUGACCUCAAACAGAUUUACAACUUGUCAAUGGUUUAACAUAUGAGCUGUAUGCAUAUUUUUUUCUCCUCAGUUGUGUGAUGGCCAGACUGUUUUGACUCAUCAACCCCUUAACUUAACGGUGCCAGCAUGGCAGUGACAGGGACAUGAAACAGUCUGAAUUUGCAAUUUGGGACAUGAAUGAAUAAAUGGAUUUCUAUAUCAAAGAGGGUAAAAUAUAUAUAUCCAAUUGAAACCAGUAACAGAUAUUAAACAGAUAUACUUGUUGAUUGGUGAGUGACAGAUAUUAGAGGGUACCGCCGCUUGAAACUCCAUUCACAGGUGCUAAAAGUAGUAGGUAUAGACUCCGUUGUUAUCGUGAUGUUGAAAGAAUACAAUGUUUCCAAGAACUGAGAUCCAUGGCGGCAGCUCAUAAACGGCCCCAGUAAAGAAUAUUUUUUGGUUGAUUCCUUUCCCUCCACAUGUUGACUCCCAACGUAAACUCCAAAAACUGGUUCGCUGUACCCAUGACAAGCACGGAGGUGGUUGGAUUUUCAUGGGUUGGGUUGGAUAGGGUUGGAGUUGGCUUGUCUUUUUAUGCAUGAUAUUUAACCUUUUACAUAUUAUUUUUUAGUACAAUCAAAGUUUCUUUCAUAUUCAUUUUAUCUGAAGAUUAAUAUUUUCAUUAUAAUACUAUUAUCUAUUAUUAUAGAUUUAAUUUUUAUGUGGUAUAAAUGACAUAAUAUGUAAAAAUAAAAUAAAAUAUAUUUAACUAAUUUUAGAUUUAAUUUUUUAAUAUAAUCAAAGCUUCCUUAUAACCGUUUUUGUAACACCCCAAAUUCGGUCUAAACGUUAUGACUGAAUCUGGCGAUGUCACAUUGUAACACCCUUUACCCGUAUUCGACGCCGGAAUAGGGUAUGGGGCAUUACCAGAACACAUACAUUUAUAAACAUGUUAAACCGAGUUAUAAAAUUUCAUUCAAAUUUAAACUCUUCAAAUUUUUAACAUGCUUUUAUAAAUCUUCACGUUAUAACUUCAAAAUACUAUAUUUGUAACAAAUAACGCUUCUGAGACCCAAUACAUACUCAUGCAAUUCAAUACUUCAUUUCCAUUUCAUUUAAUUCACGAUUCUCAUGUUCACGACUCAAUUCAAUUUCUCAAUCCAAUAUACAUUUCAAUACCACAACCGUUCAUUUAAUUCACAUCAUAUCAUUUGCAAUUUCCAUUUAAUUCACGUACAAUUCAAUUUCAUUAAGUUCAAUACUAAUACAUAUUUAUCGUUUAACUUAACGCCUUUUUGCAUCAUUUUACACUUCAAGCAUGAACCUAGUAUUUCAUUUCCUUUCCACUCUUAUUUCCUAUGCAUAUCACACAAGAUAUAAACAUUACACUCAACCAUAGUCGCAAGCUAGUCUUUUUGAAGACUAACCACAUGAUAAGCCAUUUUAAUAAAGAUUACAAACUUUAAGCCUUACCACCUUUUUAUGAUCACAAGCAUAUUUCCAUCUAGACAUUUACCAUCUCAAUGCAUAGUUUUAUAAAUUUAAUGUGGCGUAAUCCAGCCACAACUUGGUCAAAGCCUAAGCAUACACACCAAACAUGCUAGCCAAAUAAACAUAUAGUAUAAGCAUUAUAAGCAUGGAUAAACACCACAUUUAUUAAUGUAUCAAACUUAUCAACAUGAGUUAAUCCAUAAACCAUUUCUAACAUUGCUACAUACCAAAUGAUAUACCAAGUAUACCACUUACACAUACUAUGAAAUUUUAUUUUCUCACAUGAACUUUAACUAUAACUAAUAAUGCACAAUUAUAACACACUUAAACAACAUUAACUACAACUUCACUAUUCAAUCACAUGUAUAUUCAAAGUUGUCUAUUCGAGUCAGAGUUACUAAAUUAUUUUUACUUGGACCUACAGAACUUCAAAUUAAGAUCUGUAAAUUUUCCCCAAAACUAGAUUCACAUAUCUUCUUACCAUAAAAUUUUCAGAAUUUUUAGUUUAGCUAAAUAGUACAGUUUAUUCUUUAAAGUUCCCUUGUUUCACUGCUCGACAGUUCUGACCUCUCUUCACUAAAAAUUAAUUAUCUCAUUGUACAGAAUUCAGAUAUUACUUCCGUUUGCUUCUCUUGAAAAUAGAUUCACUGAGAAUUCUAAACACAUAAAUUUUAUCCCAUAAUUAUUUUUGUACAAUUUUUGAAAAUUUUCCAAAGUCAGAAUAGGGGAUUCCAAACUCAUUCUGACUCUGUCUAACUAAACUUCAAAUAUUUCAAAAUAUAUACCUCUUUUGCUUGCUCUGUUUCUUUUAUGUGAAAAUAGACUCAUUCAGCUUCAAUUUCAUAUAUUAUUCAGCCUCUAAUUCAAUCUCCACCAUUUUUGGUUAUUUUUCAAAUUCACAUAACUGUUGCUGUCUAAACUGUUUUAUUGCUAAAUGUACUCUUUCAUAAUUUUACUUUUUCACUUUCAAUCACAAUUCAAUUCAAAAUUCACUUUUCCAUUUCUAAGUCGAUAUUCAAUUCAAUUCCACACCUAUAUUUAUUAUUCAAUUACACUUAGUCAAUUUCUCGAUGAACACUUCGGAAUAAUAACAGAUACUUGGUGAAUUCAGCACAUAGCAACCACCUUAUUAAUCAAUGAUGUCAGGUGGAAUCAGCACAUAGCAACCACCUUACAAAUAAAUGAUGUUCAGUUCACAUAGUAACCUGCACAUAGUACUACACAUGAGGCCAUUACCAUCCAAUACACGUAGUAGCCUGCACAUAGUACUACACAUGCAACCUAUCAUUCCGGUACACGUAGUAGUCUGCACAUAGUACUACACACGUAACCAUCACAUUCACUUUUACAUAGUGGCCUACACACAAUCCGUGCCACACAUGUGAUCAUUUCUGUCACUUCAUUCGUAUCCCUUUUUAUUCCAAAGUUUCAUUCGGAAAUUUUUCACUUUUUCUCACUUUUCUUUUUAUCGAUCAAUUUCAAUUUCUCGUCUUUCUUGAUUUAUAACAAUACAUUUAACUUAUAUAACCUUCACACUACUCAUUCCAGUCCAAAAAUCAUACUUUUGCAAAAUUAAGUUUUUCCCCUAAAGUUUCACAAAAUUACGAUUUUGCCCCUAAGCUCGUAAAAUAAUUUUUAUUCAAUUUCCUUGCAUUUUAGGCCUAGCUGAACCAUUUUCAUAACUAUAUCAGUCCAAAAUACUUACUUAUUCACACACUUGUAACAUAUUUUAUAACUUUUACAAAUUAAUCCUUUUAGGCAUUUUCAUUGAAAAUUACUUAGUACAAAUCGUUUAUCACACUCCAAACAUUCAUAUUCUUCCAUAAGACAUCAAAAUACAUGCAUAUCAUUCAUGGGUAAAUUUUUAAACACAAACCCUAGUUCAAAACAAUGGUAAAAAUAGGUAAAUCUUGUUAUGAGGAUUUCAAAAACGUAAAAAUCAUUAAAAACGAGAAUAGAACAAACUUACAAUCGAGCUUGGAAGCUUUAAAAACCCUGGCAAUGGUUUCUCCAUGCAAUUUUUGGCCUAGGGGUUGAAGAUAGACAAAAAUUGGCUUUUAAUUUUAUUUUUAAUUCAUUUUAAUAACUAAAUGACUAAAAUGCCCUUAAUGAAAAACUUUGGAAACAUGCCUAACAAUACCCAUUUUCGUCCACCAACUUAACCAAUGGUCUAAUUACCAUAUAAAGACCUCAAAUUUAAAAUUUCAUAACAAUUGGACACCUCUAACAUAUAGAACUCAACUUUUGCACUUUUUACAAUUUAGUUCUUUUGACUAAAUUGAGUGCCCAAACGUCAAAAUUUUCGAACAAAAUUUUCACGAAAUCAUUUUGUGAAAUUGCAGACCAUAAAAAUAUAAUAAAAAAAAUUUCUCGUCGAAUUUGUGGCCCCAAAACCACUAUUCCGACUAGCCCCAAAUUCGUGCGCAAUCUAGAAAAAUUAAUAUUUACAUUAUAGUAUUAUUAUAAAUUUAAUUUUUAUAUGGUAUAAAUUAGAUAGUAUGUCCAAAUAUAAUUAAUAUAAUAUAUUAUAUAAUUAGAAAACUAAUCAGAUUAAGCUCAUGUUGGCGUGUAAACUCAACUUUUGAUUUAAACAAUUCUAAUUUAUUUAUUUAAACUCAUUUCGUUCAACCUAUUUUUUUUCAAUCCUCAAAUAUUAAGCAAGAGUUUAUAAAUUAGAACGAGUCUAAAAUGAACCAACACAAACCCACUUCUUUGUUAAAAAUCCAAAAUUUUUGGGUUUUAACUGAUUUUUAGAUUUUCGAUUUUUUAAAGGUUUCAACUAAUUCUUUCAAUUUCUAAUUUAAUAAUAUGUUAUACCUGUAAUGACCUAAAUUUAAGGUAAUCGGAACAGUGGUUUCGUAACCACAAAUCCGAUUUAAAGAGAAAUUUAUUUUAAUAUUUUUGCAUGAAUAUUGAUAUGAUAGGAAAAUCGUAUAAAAUAUCGAUAGAAAAAUUUUACCGAUUUAGUGGUUAGUUAGAAAAAUAAAUUAUUGAAGAAAUUGGGUAAAAACAAGGUAUUGAGACCUCAAUCUCGUAAAACCGAGUCGAAAAUAUUUUUAUAAAUAUUUAUGAAAUGUUAGUAAUGUUGUAUUAAAAUUUCGUUAGAAAAUUUUAAUGUUUGGGUAGUCAAUUAAAUGAAAAGGACUAAAUUGGAAAAGGUGUAAAAGAGGCUGGGAUGAUUAAAUAGCUUAAGUGUCUAAUGAGGAAGGAUUUAAAAGGAAAUUAGACCCAAAAUUUAUUUGGUCUGGACGGCAAGGGCGUGAAAUUAGCAAGUAAAUGGAUGAUUUAAGGGAAAAAUUCGAAUAUUGCAUAAUAACUAAAUAAAAUUAGGACUAAUGUAGAAAUAUCUAGAUUUCUUGUGAUUUCUCUUCAUUCUCAUCAGCCAAAACGCCAUAGGAGGGGUUCUUUAAGCUGGUAUUUCAUAAUUUUUUCACCAAGUGAGUUUAAUCCUUGCCUUUUUGUUGUAAUUUUUGUAUUUUUAAAACUUUUACAACUAGGUUCUACUAUUAAAUUCAUUAGUUUUUGAUUUUAUGGAUGAAAUUGAAACUCACCAUGGUUGAGUGCUAUAAUUUUAUGAUGAAAUAGCAUGAAAUUAAAGUUUUAAUUUGUUUAUGAGAUGAUUUUAUUAGGUAAUUUCAAUAGAAAUUGAUUUUUAAGACCUAAUUGUGAAAAAGUUAGAAUUAAAGUCUAGUGCCUAAAUUUUGAUUCCCAAAGGUUAUAAAGUAGUUUAAAGUGAUAGAAUAAAAUGUUAAUUGAGAAAAAUCAGCUUAAUUGAGAGGUUAAUUGAGUAGGGAUGAAAUUAUCAUUUAUUAAAGCUUAGGUGAAAUAUGGUAAUAAACAUCUUGCACUAAAACAGUUUUGGACAGUAGGAGUAGACUAACUUUGAAAAAUCAUCAUAUAUUGUGAAAAUCUAAUUAGAGGAUGAACAAAAAUAUGGAAUUAAAGCUUAUUGAGUCCAGUUUCUCAUAGAAGAAACGAGAUAAGUAAUGGAAUUGUAAAUCAUGAGAUAUAAUAAAUUUUGUGAGACAAGGUUAGAAUGAAUUCGGAUUCCCCUGUUCUGACUUUGGAAAAUCAUCAAAAAUUGAAUAAAAUUAAUUAGGGGUUAAAAUUUACAUGUUUAAAUUAUUAAUGGGUCUAUUUUCAAUAGAAAUAAACGGAAACACCAUCCAAAUUUUUUACUAAGAGAUAAUUAGUUUUUAGCAAAGAAAAGUCGAAGCUGUCAGACAGCAAAAUAUGGGUAAGUUUGAAGAUUUUACUGUACUUAUUGGUUGAACCAAAAAUUCUGAAAAUUUUAUGGUAGAAAGGUAUUUGAGUCUAGUUUCAGAAACACCAAGCGGUUUUUAAUUUUAAAUUCUAUAGUUUGAGAUGUAAAUAAUUUAGUGAUUACGACUCAAGUAGACAACUUUAAAUGAACUAUGAAUAAUAGUGGAAUUAUAGAGAAUGUUACAUAUGAACAUGAAAUAUAUUAAAUUGAUGAUUAAAUUUAUUUAUUUAGAUCCAAAAAAUUCAAAUACAAGGCUAGAUCGAGAAAAGGAAAAAUUUCGGGAUUAGUAGAUUUUUGAAUACGAACAAGUAUCGAGGUAAGUUCGUGUAACCUGAAUUAUAUUCUUAAAUGCUUGAAACGUAUGUUAUUGAUGUGAAUAUGAUUUAAAUGUUCAUCGUAUGAAAAUUGAUGAAACAUUGAUAUAUUUGCUAAAAAAGGGAAGAAAUCUCAGUUGAAUGAAAGGAAAAUUCGAUGGAUCUUUAAAAAGGAAUUGACGAUAAAAAAAAAUCUAGCCCAGAUGGAUGAUCCUAUCCUGAUAUAGCCCUCCCGAAGAAUAUGUGUAAAAUGGAUUUAUCCCGGACGGGUAAUCCAAAUUAGGGUCUGAAUUUAGCCUGGACUAGUAAUUCAGAUCCAAGCUCAUUAGAGUAAAUUGUCGUUGCAGGGGAUUUAGCUUGGACUAGUAAUCCCGCUAUAAGGAUGAGGUUCGCGGGAGUGUGCUCUCUGAAAUGGAAAUGCGCGCACAUGAAUAUGAAUUGACAGACCUAGAAUAGUACACUAAAAGUGUACCUCUGAAAAUCCAUCGAAAUUCCAAGAAAUUUAAUGGGAUAAAUAUGAGAAAUAAUAAGGGUAAUAGAAAACAUGGAAUUGAUGAGUUCAUCAAUCAUUAAUCUUUGUAUUGAACUCAUAUGAUGCUAUUUGAUUAAUGUUUUGGUUGAGUUUGUGUGUGAUAGGCAAAUGGUAGAUUGAAUGGAUGUAUGAAUAUUUGUUGUAUUGUAUUGAAAAUAUUAGGUAAGUAUAAUUCUUGUUACAUGAGCUUACUAAGCACAACGUGUUUACCCUGUUUCCUUUUUCCCUGAUUCGUAGUAUUAAGAGCUCGGAGGUCAGAUUUGGUCGGAGACACAUCACACUAUCAACUUCAACAAUUUGGUAUAUUAAGAAACUUUAUUUUGGAAAUCAAUGGCGUGUAUAAGUUGAUAAAGUAAAUGUUAGUGUGGAGUAAAUGUAAAGUUAGCCAUUGGUAUGGUUAUCAAAUCCUAGUUUUGGCAUGUGAUGAGGUUAUCUUAUAGAUAUGCGUAAAUCUAUCUUAAAAAUAUGUUGAAUUGAAUUGGUUGAUUUGGUUUGAUAUCGGUGUAUGUUUUGGGCUCCGGAGGCCCAUCUAAGGGACGUAAUAAUAUGUUUCAAUAAAAGAAUAGUAUUUAACUCGUAAUAAUGGAAAAAUUAAUUUGGAAAACUCCGGUAAUGCCUCGUACCCUAUUUCAGUGACGAAUAUAGGUAGGGGGUGUUACAAUACCAAUCAUUUAAAAUUUAUAAUAGGAUAUGUGUUUAAAUAUAAAUGAAGUGUGCUAAUGAGAUAGAUUAUAGUGAAAAGAAAAACUAAUCCUUAAAGAAAUUAUACUACAUAUGUCUAUAUAGCAAAUUAUUAUAAAAUACUAAAAUUAUAUUUAUGUUUAAUAAAACCUACAAACCUAUAAAAGAAAAAAAAAACCUAUACGAAUAUCUUUUUCUUUUUUUUCCUAUUUUGGGCUUUGUAUUUCAUUCUUGAUGUAGGCCUUAUAGUUCGAUCAUAUCCAAACUUCAAUCGCUUUCUUAUGGUAAUGGAAGAAAGUCAGCCCAUUUAACUAGUCAAAGCUCAAAUUUCAAAGGCAGGAGAAAAUUUUGCUGUUGAAAAGCUUUUGUUGGUUGUAAGUUUGCCCAAUAUUUUUUCGUGUCUUUUCCCCAUUUCUAGCUAUAUGAUUGCAUGGCACCAACGCCCACCUGGUUCAUUUUUGCAAUUCAAGAUCACCCAGAAAAUUUCCUAAGGAAAAAAUUGUUGGUACAUCUCUUCUCCUGUUGUUAAACUUAAGCUAUUUACAUGUUUAUAUCUGUUUAUGCAUCAUAGAGAAUGAAACGAUUUCCCAUUCCUCUAAACAAUCUGCAUUAAUAUCAUAUUUCAUGGCUUCUCUAAUUUGAUGGGUUUGUGUGUUUUAAAGAUUUCAAGUCUUGCACAAUGGCAUUAUAAUGUAACCGUCUCAAUUUAGUAUUUAUCAUGUUCUUGAUAGCAAAUUUUCGUGUUUUUUUUGUGUGGAUAAAUCGUUACUGUUGAUUGUAAUUUGAUGUUGUGCUGCUGUUCUUUGCAGAAUUAUUUGGUUACCCCACUUUCCUUCUUGUGAAAAAUCCAAUUGCUUGAUUUCGUUUAUUUGCCAAAGGGAUUCAAACGAAAAUGGUAUCUGAAUCAAUCUCUUUCCUAUCAUAGCAUGUGCAUGCUACGGGUGAAAAGCAAAUUUUCCUUAGAAAGUUCAAUGAUAAUAAAGCUUUGGCUGGAAAUAGUAAAAUUUAGAAUAAUGAUGACGAUGAUGAUGGGUUUAAAAGUGUAGUUAUUUAUUAAUUAUUUUAACUUUUGGUUUUCUAGUACUUUUCUUAUCGAUGAGACGAAUUCAGUAAACUCUUAAAUAAUAGUACAGAUAAUUCAUAACAAUUUUAGUUAUGGUAACUUUUUGUUCAUAUUCACUUGGAAAUAAAUGAGGGGCAGGUUUAUCAUUCUACUUUUGCUGACGAGGAAGGAAUUACUAAAGCCUGUGGCUGCCCUUUACUUCCUUUGAAAAGUCGUAAAAAGGGUCCUGCUCCUGUUUCAGAACAAGGUGGGAUUUAUGUUCUUUAAUCAGCAUCAUUGUGUAGUUGUCCUUUUUCAAAUCUUUGAUUUGAUAAUUCAAGAUGGUAUUGUUUUGUUUGCAGGCAAAACGGAUAUAGUUGAUGAAGCCAUCACAUUCUUUCGUUGCAAUGUCUUCUUUAGGAACUUCGAUAUUAAAGGCCCUGCAGAUAAGCUCCUUAUAUAUUUGACAUUCUACAUAAAUCUGUCUCUAAAGAAGCUUGAAGGUUGUAGAACCUUGGCUGAGGGGUCUAAGGCAAUUCUUAACUUAGGAGUGGAAAAUGUUACCAUACCUGGUGAAUCUGGUUUUCCUUUUACAGGGCUCUUUUCUCUUCCACAGUCUCAACAGGAAGCAGGUAAAUCUCCUUAAUGUUUGCCCUUUUUUAUUUGGUACAAUAUUAAAUAUCACAUGCAUUAUUGAACUUCUAGUAUCAUGUAAAUUGUUGGUUUCUUAAAAUGCAGAACUGCUGAGGGAUUAUCUGAAGCAAAUAAGAGAAGAGACGAGUGGGAGACUGUUGGGUGUUGCAUAUAGGCCUAAUGGAACACCAAAUAAGUGGUGGUUAGCAUUUGCAAAAAGGAAAUUCAUGAACAUUGCUCUUCUUGAUAAAUAACUUUUUACAUGUGAUAAGCAUUCUGCAACAUAAAGUAAAAAGAACCAGUUCACUAAUUGGAAACUGAUGUCAGCAGUUGCGUAUUAAAACCAAAGACACUUACGUCUUCUACUGUAAAGUUAUUGGCAAUUCGUGCAUUGUUUUGUCUUUCUUGUUGGUUUCUGUACGUGGAUUCGAUUGAAAGAAACUAGAAUGGGUUUCAGUUUAAGGCCUAAUGGAGAUGGUAAAGCAUCAAUCAGCAGCAACCACUUUUCCGAAUGUUAAUUUGAUCUAAAGAUUCUAUAAAUUAACAAGCUUUUUCCUUUCUCUUUUUAGUUUUUUCUUUCAGCAAUGUAUAAAAUCAACAAGUUGCUGAAUGAGAAAUCUUUUCAAGAAAUACUGGGCACCCACAGCAUACAUUUUACCAAAUAUUUAAUACGACAGUUGAACUUGGAAAUCUUAGGAUUGAAUGCGAAAUGAUGAGAUUCCAAGCUUAAGGUGGGUUUGGAUGGUCAAUUGGGUGCGGUGCGGUGCGAUGCGGUGUGUUUUACUUACUUUUUGUCUCACGCUACAGUAUCGCUACAGUAUCUAAUCUCACCGCCACCGCUAUUUUUACACUAACCGCAGGUAAACGCACCACUCAUCCAAACUCACCCUUAGUCUAUAAUUGUUAAAAAUUGGAACUAGGUAUCAUUAGAAAUGGUGCUUCUAUUUCAAUAUAGUUAAAAUUAAACAUAUUACAUAUAUCUAUCUUCCCAAGCAUUAAAACAUAAUAAAAUUGAAUAAAGAAUCUGAAAUUGCUUUUAAUGUUUAGAAAAGUGUGAAUGAAGUAGACAUGUUUUAACUUUAUCGAGGAAGAUGGAAAAAUAGUGGACGCCCAAGGAAAGGUCAGCUACUAGAAAUUGAGUCGCUUUUGCAACUUACGUGAAACAAAUGCUACCUUGUAGGAAAGGACCAGGCAAGGCAAGUGCCUCCUUUUUUGGUUCAACCUACGUAAGUGCUUAGGGUAGCAUGUUCUGCUACGGUUUAUGUUUUACUAGAGUUUGAAUGAAUUUCAAAUUUAUACCACGAUAAUUUCUCUCAAACAUUUAAGUUGAAAAAAUAGUAUACACUUAAAUAUAUUCAAAUUUAUGUUGUCUUGCAUGAGACUUAAAAGACUAAAUGCACCAUUUGAGUUAUAAUAAAAAAAUUGAAAAAAAGCAUUAUACCAAGCAAUGAUUCUUGCACCCCUUUUGGAGGCACCAACACCCCCAAAAAAGUACAAAGUUUUAAUUUAUGUUUAUUUAUAAUUGAAAUAAAUUUUUUAUUAUUUAAAUUUAUGGUUAUAUUAUUUAAAGUUGUCAGGAUGCAAUUCUAGCUAAAAAUUGAAGUUUAAAAAUACUUUGCUAACUCCAAAAAGAGAAAAAGAAAAGAAGAAGCUGCUUCCUAAAGGCUAAAUCCUUUUAACACAAAUUUUUUAAGAACAAAGCUAACAAAUAAAAAACCAGUUGAUUGAAUGAAGAAUUCAAUUUUUAUCAACAGUUCAUUUACAACAACAAAUGGAUACCCAAUUUUCUAUGUACCAAACCAAAAGACCGCUAAUCAUAGAAAAAACCAAACAAAGACAAAAACAUGAUCAUUAAUCACUAAACAUGAACAUCAUCAAGGUGAAGAUCCCCACAAAACUUCAGCAAUUAUGGUAGCAGCCUCAGCAUCAUUAACAGAUGCUUCCCUAACUUUCUCCAGAAUCUCUGCUUUAAAAGCCCUUUUCUCCCUUUUCCUCAACCCUUCCCCAACCUCUAAUUGCACUGCAAACCUUGCCACACAGCUUGCAAAUGGAUGAUUCUCUAAAAAUUUCUUUCCCCUUUUCUGCCCCUCACUCUCCUCAUUCUCAUUUCCAUACUUUCCCAUCCCUAUCAAAUCACCACCAAAUUCUGACCUCUGCAACUCCACAAGUUUCUCUAUCAACUCCCCAUUAAGCAUCGCUUCAACAGCUUCUUUACGUCCAAAGUAACCAAUCUCAAGAAUGCAAUCAAAGACCACAACUUUCAUGCUCAAAUCUUUGGAUUCUAAUAAAGUUAAAAUCUUGGGAAGUCCUCCAUUGCAGAGUAUUUCAUCAACAAAUGGAGAUUUAAUAAAUUUAAUCAACUCACAUAGAACUUUUACGCUAUGGGCUGAUUUCAUCUCCAAAAGAGCUUGAAUUGUAUCUCCCAUAUUCACUUGGCCGACGAAGACAUCCUUGUUGAAUCGAAUCAAAGCGGCUGCACAAAACGCAGCUUUUUCCCUGAUCUGUUUUGAACAAUUCGGGUCGCAAAGCACUGUUUGUAAAACCGAAAAGGCUUUCGAUUUCAAGACUGAAUCCUGUAACUCGGGAUUAAACCCUUGUGAUACUCGGACUUCAAACUGACUCAGUAACCGAGCUAACUCGUCCUCGUCCUUCCACGGAUCUUUCAAAGCAUUUAUCAAGCUAUCGAUACUCCCACGAUCCAUCAAGGCUUGAACCUCGGACUCGAUCGAGCCAGCAACUCGAGAGAUGGAAUGAGUCGACACACGACGAGUCAAAAAACUCCUGAGACCAUAACCACGAUUCCUUUCUAGGGUUUCGACGAGGAUCUUGAGCUCAGCCAAGUGUCGGGAAAGAGUAGAAAGAUGUGGGUCUUUCGAGAUGAUCGAAUCGGACUCGGUUUCAAGCUCGAGAAGAGCUUUAAUGGGAGAUGAAUUAGACUGGACCGAUUUGUAAGUUGGAUGAGCUUGUAACUCGUGGGAUGCUUGUUUCAAAGCUUCGAGAAGCUUCAGAACUCCAGGGUCGUCUUCUUUGGGCGAUGAGUCUUCCAUUUUUUUGUUGCAGAUGAAGAUUUUCUUCUUUCACGGUUUACACAGAAACAAACAACAAUAGACUCUUGUUUUAGGAGGCGGCGAGAGUAUAAUGGAGAAAAGUAGCUCAACCACCGGUUUAUAUUCGAGCCGCUCGGGCUUUGUGAUUUUUUAUUUGUAAUUUUCCACGUGUACUUAGAUCGAUAGAAACCAUUAUUUAACACUAAUAAAGUCUUUUAUCCCUUACUCUAUUAUUUUGUAAAGGGUAACCACUUUUUCCGGUUAAUUUGGAAACUACUUUUCAUAUUGGUUUAAAUUUCAUUUUGGUCCAAGUUUUUAUAUUGAGAAUUAUUUUUUAUCUAAAUUAAUCUUUAAACUUAACAAUUAUUUCUAUAUUAAGUUAAAUUUUUUAGGUUAAUCCUUGAUAUUUUCUCGAAAACUUAAAAUCCAAACUUUAAUACAAGUUCAUAUGCUAAUUUGAACAAAGAAAAAAGUUGUUCGAUAUGAGAAUAAUUGCUUAGCUAGGCCCUAAAAUGAAAAUAAUUAUGAAGUUCAAAGAUUAACUAAGCCAAAAAAAAAAAAGGAACUCUGAUCCCAAUGUAAGAAUUGUCACCAAAUUUAAAUAUCAAAUAAUAAUUUAACCCUUUUAUAAAAUUACGUAAUUAAAUUAAUACUUUUUUUAUAUAAUAUUAAAGUAAAAUAUAGAAGUAAUAUAAUUCGAACUCAUAUCAAACGAGUAAUUGACAAUAAUUUUAAUCACGAUUUUAUUUAAAUCAAAAUAAUUGAAUAAACAUAUUCAUGUAUGUCGAAAUAAUAUCUUUCCCUGCACAAAAGAAAGUAUAAUAUAAGUUGAAUCCAUUAUUUUUCUUUCAGUACACUGAUACAUUAUAUUGAAUCCAAAUAAACAUGGAAUACACAGGAAUAUUUGGAUGGAUUAUUAUUUAUCUCAAAUAAAAAAUAUUAUUAAAUUGAAAAAUUAUUUUUCAUUUCUUGUUUGAUUUGUUUAUAUAGUUAAUUUGUAAAGAGGGAAAAUAAGAUCUUCAUGCCUAUUUCCUUUAGCUUUUAAAGAAGAAAGUUUUUUUAAAAUUUAUUUUUUCUAUGAUAAUCUAGACAUUUUAGUCAAAAGGGGGAAGUUAUGAGUCAAAAUUUGUCGAGUAAUUGGUUUGUUGGUUAGCAUUUAAUAAAAAUGAUAAAUAAAGCCACCUCUCUUGUCUUUCAAUGCUUAUUUUCCGUUUAUCCCCAUAAGUAAAGCAUUUUCUGUUUCUUAUUUUGACUUUUUAAAAAAUAAAAAUUUGAAUUUUCUUUUCAGACGCGCUUAUCACUAAAUCAAAUAUUUAAUUUAUUUUCGUGAAUUGGAAAGGUGAUUUACCUCCUCUUAAACGUUAGCAUAAUUUAGUAAUUAAACAUAUUUUCACAACACUUAAUAUUGUUGUUUUUAUAAUGCUAGUUUGGCAUAUUCGAAUCAAAAGAUAAUCUUGGCCCAAGAAUAUGAGCCACUUGUUCAAUUUUCCAGCAUGGAAAAAGAUUGGUUCAUCUUUAAUGUGGGACCCAACUCUAAUUUAUUAAUUGAAGGAAAGCUGGUCAUGUUUUUUUAAUUUUAUCCACAGCACAUUGAAUAAGAGACAGAAUGAGCCCCAACUUUGCCUUACUUUGGCUCCACAUAUUUCUACCCCCAUGAUAUUGUAAUAUAAAAAAACAAAUAUAUAUUUAACAUCGCAAAAGCCAAUAUUAUUAAAAUAUUCAAAUUAGACUUGGGCAAGGAGUAUUUUUUUUAUCUCAAAUAAACCUCAAAUUAAAUAGUAAAUAGUAUAUUAUAUUCAAAUUGGUAUAAAUAUAUAUUUAAUAUUUUUAUUAAUAUAUGAAUAGUAAAAUAAGCUAUCAAGCUAGACUAAUUUUGAUUUGGGAUUAAAAAUAUUUUUAAAAUUUGAUCGUACCACAGCUUGACACAGUAAACAAUUCUAAUUACAUGUUAAUUUAUUUCAUGUGUCUAUUUUAUUUAGUAUAUUAUAUUAAGAGAAUAUUAUUAAAUUGUUAAUAUGAUUUAAAUUUAAAAUUUAACAUAUAUUUGAACACAUAAAUAUUAUUUUUUAUGAAACAAUUUUCCACAUUAAUAAUUCCAUUAAUCAAAUAUAAUAAUAUUAAUUAAAAUAUAAAAAAUCGUAAUUAUUUUAAACGCGUAUUCGUAGUCAUUUAAUAAAUACCCAAAUUCUUGCAGUGUGCCCCAGCCAUCAGCCAUUAUUCUGUGGGCUAAAUUAAAUAAAAAUAAUCGGGUUGAAGUUAGCCUAUCAAUGGGUUAGCUCAUCCAAGUGAUAUAAAGCCCAUUACACAAUGCUUAUUAUUGAAAAAUUAUCUUAUCUAUAAUUAUAAGAUUUUUUUUAUUUUUUUUAAACGAAUUAACAGCACAUUAAUUCUUAGAAUAUAUUUUAAAUAAAUUAUAAAAAAAUUAAAUAAUAAAAAAUCGAAAUAUGAGAAUGAAAAAAAACAAACACAAAGAGUACAAUUUUUUUUUUCGAUUCGUAUUAAAUAUUUUGUUUUGAUAAAUAAAAAAAAUUGAACAAGAAUAAAUCACAUGACCAACCGCUGAAAAUAUCCGAUCUUUUAUCGCCACAUGUUCAAUAUUAGAAAAUGAGACCAGCAUUCCAUAAGUGGUCUCAGAUUCUAAAGUAAGCCACCUUGGCCCUUGCGGCAUGUCCUUUUAGGGUAAAAACUUCAUAAUACAUCACAAUAUUAUACCCAACCAUUUUUAGUCCACUGAUCAUCAAAAAUUAUAAAAUCAUCACUCAAUUUAUUACAUUUAUAUUCUUCUUCAAUCGCAUACUUAGAUUAAUUUUAUGAUGAAGAUGAUUUGAUAGUUCUAAAUAGAAAAUCAUUGUUUGAGGAGACGAAAAACUUACAGAAGCAGCAGAGGAAUUUUAAGGUUCUUGGAUUUUACGAAAGAGUCGAGAUAAAAAAUUCCAUAUUGUAAUGAUUUUGUUUUCUUUUUUGCAAAACACACCGAUAUAUAUGAUUCUAAAAAAAUUCAAAACUAUAUAUUACGAAGAUGGUUUAAAGAAGUGUGAUAAAUUAGCUCUUAUAUAUUUUAAAAUGGGUAAAUUUAGUUUUUCCAUAAAAAAUUUCUAUUAAACGAUGGCAUGGAACAUGCUAAAAAUUAUUUUUUAUGCAUAAACUAUAAAAGUGGUCACCUAAUUAUGCCUUCCGUUCUAUUUUAGUCACUCAACUAUUUUUUUUGUCAGUCUUUUAAUUUUUAUAUAUUCUAUCAAUUUGAUCCAAAUAUAAAAAAUUCAACAAAUUUAUCCCUUAAUGUUUACAGAAUUUGUCAUUUUAGAUCCAAUUCUAAAAAAAACAAAAAUUUUGGCUCUUAAUAUUUACAAAAUAUGUCAAUUUUGUUUUUAACUCUAUUUUUUAUUAGAAAAAUCAUUUUUAGCCCUUUUUAACCCGUCAGCUAACUAGUGCUCGCAACGGGAUGGGGUAGGGUGGUCUUUUGCCCACCCGACCCUGUCUCGAUGCUCUACUCCAUGCCUUGACCCAAUCCCAACUUUAAAAAAUUUAACCCACUUUGAACCUAGACCUGAAAAUUAAUAAUAUACCCAAAUUCUAUAUGAUCCGACUUGAAUUUAAUUUCAUUUAGUUUUUUUUUUUGUAAAAAUAUGAUUAAUUAGAUUUGAUUAAUGAUUUAUCUCUAGAGUUGUGUGCUAAUGUAUAUUCACACACAUGUUGUGAUUACAAUAAAGAAGAAAAAGAAGGAAUAAAGGUUCAUUUAAUAAAUUAUUAAAUUAAGAAGAUAGAAAAUGGGGAAAAUAACCUUAGAAGGGUGAAAGGGGACUAGUAUAGAUGCAGUGGUGGUAAAAUGAGACUAGUAGUGAUAAAUUUUGGAUUUUUAAUUUAGUUAAUAUUAAAUAUGUAUAAAGGGUAAUUUCAUAAAUAUAUCGGGCGUGGCUAUUUCAUUCUAAAUUUGGUCCCGACUUAACCUGAUUGCUUUUAAAAAUUAACCAGCUUCGACCUUGACUUCAAGAAAAAAACCCAACACUAUCGGGCCGAAUCAGCUCGGAAUCCAUCAGAUUCAGAUUUUUUUUUGCCAUCCCUACAACUAUGGAUAUUAAAAAAAGAAAAAUAUUACCUCUUUCAAGUCUCUCUUGCAAAACAACUCUUAAAAGUUAGGAUAAAACACAAAAAAAUUAAGAUCUAAAUGAAAGUAAAGGCGUUUAAAACGUUAUCUCUUUGGGUAGUAAUGCCAAAUAGGUUCCAAAUCUAUUGAUUUGCCCCAAUAUGAAGCCUAAAUUAUUGUAAAAGAAAUUGUUGCAAGUGACUUGAAAGAGUAUAAUCUUUUUCUUAUUUUAAUAUUUCACAUGGGUUAGCCGAUGGGUUAUAAAUGAUUAAAAAUAUAUUUUUUAAUUUUUAGAGUUAUCGCUAACUUGAUAGAUUUUGUAAAUGUUGAGGGCCAAAUGUAUUAAUUUCUUUAAAAUUACAACUAAAAUGAUAAAUUUUGUAAACAUUGAGAGCUAAAUUUGUUGAAAUUUUUAUAUUUAAGAUCAAAUUGAUAGAAUGUGUAAACACUAGAGGGCUAACUUUAUUACUAGACCAAUAAGAAAAGGCCCACGUUAGCUUAGAUUGACUAAAAUAUUUAAUGUCGAAAAGUUUAAUGAUCAAAUAAAAAAAAUAAUAGUUGGAUGUUCAUUUUUAUAGUUUACUCAUAAAAAAAUAAUUUUCAGCACUGAUUUAAUGUUCCACGUCAGUAUUUAAUAGAAAAAAUUUUGCAAGUUUCAAAAUGUAUAAGAGUUAAUUUGCUCAAUUUCUCAGUAGAAGGACUGAAAUGCAAUCUGCCCCUGAGUAUAGGGGCUUCCUUGGUUCACUCGAUGCCUAUAUGAUAGAAAAGCAUAAUUGGUUGGUUGGUGGCACUUCCAUUGUACGCUCGCAAUUUCCUUCCUCUUUAACCUGUCUUUUCCUUGGGAGCCGGUCAUCAAACGUGAAACCGGAAGAUUCCUUUGUUGUAAUUUUGUCACUUAAAGAAAAUCCACCAUUUUUAUCUGAUUCUAAACCACACCCACGUCAACUGAAAAAGGAAAACGCUUCCCCACAAGUAGAUGCUUCCUAGAAAAUUCAUAUCCAAUCUUUUAAAAAAUCCCCAUGGUAAGUGUAUCAAGUUUAAUAUAACACAUGGAAAAUCACAUUUUCUUUUAUCAAAUAGCAGCCGCCAUCAUUAAUUGGUUACUACAUAUUACACAUUAACAUGCAAAUAAUUUUCUAUCAAUAUUACAUAUUCCAAAAAAAAAAAAAAACGAAUUUGGAUCUUUAUUUGCGGGAAAAAAUAAAUUUAAUUAUUUUUUAAUUUGACUCUAAAAAAAUAUAAGCAGGAGCAAUGUAUGCAGCAGCUGUUUUAACUUUUUCAACAGCUAUAAAUUGAAGGAAACACCCAACAAGUCUCCAAAUAUUCACAAAAGUAAAUUUCAUACAAAUAUUUAAUAUGUUUUUGUGGGGUAUAUUAUAUGACAUAUUUACCUACCUAUACGUAUAUAUGUGCAUAAAUUAGAUAUUAUAUCAAAAUCAAACGCUCAUGAUAGCUUAUAUAAUUAAAUUUUUUUUCUCUAAAACAAAAAUAAUAAUAGUUAUUCAAAAAUUAAUUAAUUACUUGCUACUUAAUUGAAGGGAUAAAUUAUAUGUUAGUACAUAAAAUUAAAUCAACAAGCUUCUUUGGUGUGACAUUAUUGAUACGAUUUCGGAAAACAUAAUUAAAAAUAGGAUUAAACAAUGGUAGUUCAUGUAUGUUGUAAUGCAUCAUUACAAUAAUUAUAUUGUUACUGUUACAUUAGGUAAUCCAUCCUUUUCGUUUUUUAUUGGUUCUGUUUUGUGGUAAGUGGAGGUUUCCCACGUGGAAAUAUAAUUUAGGGUUUGGAAUAUCAUAAUAUAUUUAUUUUAAAUAAUUUUAUUUGACAAUUCUUAAUUUCAAAAUCUAGAAGUUGGUCAUAUAUUAUUUUUAAUUUUUUUGAUAACGUUCCACACAGCUUUUUUAGGGUUUUUUUAAUUAUAUAAAUGCAUUUUAGGAUCUAAAUGCUUUACCAACUCUAAUGAAUAUUUUUUAAUAAAACACUAACAUUUGGUAUACCAAAUGUUUAAGAAUAAAAUAUAUUCCUCUUUCUAAAUAAGGAUUAUUAUUUGAUACAUUAAUUACGGAGUAUUUUAACUUCACAAGUGAAGUUAAAAAAAUUAUGAUGUGUCUAAUUUAUGAGAAAUUAUUUGGUACAUUGUUAAUGAAAUUUUUAGACUCCACAAAUAGGAUUAGGGGUUAACAAAUAUCCUAUAUGGGUAUGAUAAAAUAUUAAAAAAUAAGACGCAUAUCAAUUUUUUACGAUUGUUUAUGGAAUAAAAGGAAGUACAAUGUUAUUGUAUCAAAUAUUAAUUUUAGGCAAUAUAAAACAUAAAAAAUCAGUUCUUCUGAAAACUUGUUUUAGCGGAUAAGAUUAUUACAGAAAUGACUGACUAUAUAAUCCAUCAAUAUUUUGUAUUUAAAAAUUAUUCAUUCUUAAUUAUUUGAUAUUUAUAAAUAUUUUUAUAUACAAAUAUUAAUGUCUUAAAAAAUAUUGAUAGACUCAAAUUUCGAAAUAAAUCAAUCUUUGAACGAUACUAGUUUCAAUAAAUAAUAAUACAUCGAACCCCUAGUAUUGACUAUCUUACUUAUUGGUGUUUACACAAAUCUUCACCAUAAAAUUUAUUUUAGUAUGAAUAACAAAAAUGAAAAAGAAGAGCUGCAAAACCACGUCGGACAGAGAUAAUGAAAACGAUGGAGAUUAUUUUAUAUUAGAGAAAGGGAAAACACCACGGUGGCCUGGGACUGAUAUUUAAGACGCACAAAAAUAUUCUGUGGGUGCUGUGCCUUGUGUCUGAGGAUUUGUCAGCGCAAAGACGUCAGAAAGGCAAAACGCCCCGAGCCCCACUGCUCACAAACGCGAAGUUUCCAAGUCCGGACGUUGACGGCGUUGCUCGCAUGCAGCGAUUGAUUGUCUGAUGCUGAUUUCCAUUCCCCGUCGUCUCUUGUUUGUUUGUCUCCGUAAUUAGCAACCCAUAUAAUCCCAUUGGCCCCACUCAUUGGCCAUUAAUUAUUUCUUGACAUUCUUAAAAUUUUCAAAAUAUUACAAUAUUUCUAUUUAUUAAAUUAAUUCAUUAUUUAAUUUACGAACCUCCAAAAUAAUAAUGAUAAGAAACAAAAAUAAAUGUAUUUUUAUAAUGAUUAUCACCUUAAUAUUUAAAUCACCACUAUACCAUAAUUUAGAAAAAUAGGAAAUUAGAAGAGCAAAACAUUAUAUAUAAUAAGAAGAAAGAAAAUAUAAAACAGCGCCCCCAGUUGAGUUCGUCUCUAUAACAAACUCUUCAUUCUCUGCGGGAGCAAUAUUAUGUAUGAUUUGCUUUCCAUUUUAUAUUUUAAUUCUGAACCGAAAUUCAUCUUUUCGUUUUAGAAUAGGUUCCACCCGGCGGAACGCCGCAACGUAACGUCAUGUCAGAGAAUGUGCCACCGGUGCAAACCCAAAGCCAAGACCCAGAUCAAGAGCACGACCAUGACCAUGAAGCUCUCACCAGUCCUUUACUCCCUCAUUAUCAACGAGCCAGUAAUUCUACCUCUCAGCUCGCCAUCGUAGGUGUCAACGUCUGCCCUAUUGAAAGCCUCGACUACGAGUAAGCUACCCGUUUACCCGGUGAUCAUAUAUAUACAUAUAUUCCGCCAUUGGAUUUUGGUUUCUAAUUGCUUCGGAUUCUUGUUUUUUUUUUUAAGGAUUGCGGAGAAUGAUUUCUACAAACAAGAUUGGAGGGCACGUGACAAGAUCCAAAAUUUUCAAUAUAUUUUCAUGAAAUGGCUUCUCUGUUUCUUGAUUGGCUGUAUCGUCAGUGUCGUUGGUUUCUGUAAUAAUCUCGCCGUUGAGAACAUCGCCGGCGUUAAGUUCGUCGUUACAUCUAACAUGAUGUUAACUGGAAGGUCCCUUUCGCUCUACUUUAUUUAUUGAUUUGUUUUUUGAAUUUCUGAUUGGUUAAAUUUCAUUCAUUAGUGUUUCUUUUUUCUGUUUUGACGGGAACUAAUUUGCCCCAAACGUUUAGAAAACUUUUUCCGUAAAUUUUAAUUGUUUAUAGCGAAAUUCUUACAUACUCCUAGUAUAUAAUCAAACUUUUUUUUUUGUAGGUAUGAGAUGGCUUUUCUAGUAUUCUUUCUAUCAAAUUUAGUUUUAACUCUAUUUGCCGCCAUCAUUACGACAUUUAUUUCGCCGGCGGCAGCUGGCUCUGGUAUACCGGAGGUGAAGGCUUACUUGAAUGGUGUAGAUGCUCCGGGAAUAAUUUCACUACGAACUUUAAUUGUCAAGGUAUUAGAAAAGAAAAAUAACUUACAAAUGCAAAAUCCUUUGAUGCAGAGCUGAAGAGCUAUAUUUUCCCCCCUAAGUUUUAAAUCUAUUUGUGGUUCUCAAUUCUAGUCAAAAUUAAUCAUUAUUGGGUACAGUGAAUGCGUAAUUAAUUAUCGAGUUAUAGGAUUUUGUAAUUGCAAAGUUUUACGCAUAAUAUUUUUUUUUCACUUAAAGAGUAGCGAGGAAUUGAGAAGAAACAGUUUUCUCUUCUUUUUUUGUCAUUUCGAUGUAGAAAUCUCAUAAUUGGGUGAAGUGUGCAGAUUAUAGGAAGCAUUUCUGCAGUGUCGUCAUCUCUGCUUGUUGGAAAAGCAGGGCCUAUGAUGCAUAUCGGUGCAUGCAUUGCAUCCUUAUUGGGACAGGGUGGGUCAAGAAGAUAUGGUUUAACGUGGAAGUGGAUUCGAUUCUUUAAGAAUGAUAGAGACCGACGAGACCUUGUAACUUGCGGAUCAGCAGCUGGAAUUGCUGCUGCUUUCCGUGCCCCAGUUGGUGGUGUGCUGUUUGCUCUUGAAGAAAUGGCAUCUUGGUAUGUAAAUUUAUGCAUGCAUUUGGAGCACAAUGUUUGAUACCUUAUUAACCAUCUGUUCUGUUUGUAUUGUUGGUUUCUAAAUUGCCUUCAUGAGUGUUUUUAUUCCAUAGAUGGAAGGCUGAACGGAUCUGGGGCCAUUAUAGACAGUAACAUGUUGUGUGAUAUAUCUCUUCAAUAUCAAUUUUCAGCUACUUUAUUCAUAAUCAUUACUAAGGUUGAAAGGCAAAAUGUGAUUCUUUUGUACCCUUGAUAUGACAUAUUUUACUUUGAGAAUCACCAUCCUUUCUUUCAUCAUCUCUCUGACAAGAGAACUGAUAAAAGUUGAUAUAUAAUGAUUAUAUCCUGGUAUUGUUCUACAGGUGGACAAGUGGCCUUCUUUGGAGAGCUUUCUUUACGACUGCUGUGGUUGCAAUCAUACUUCGAGCUCUAAUUGAUGUUUGUUUAAGUGGCAAGUGUGGGCUAUUUGGUAAAGGGGGUUUGAUAAUGUUUGAUGUCUAUUCAGCAAAUAUUUCGUAUCACAUGGCAGAUGUUCCUCCUGUACUUCUUCUUGGUGUUGUUGGGGGCAUUUUGGGAAGUUUGUAUAAUUUCCUUUUGGAUAAGGUUCUCCGAGUUUACGCCAUCAUCAAUAAGUAAGUUUCUAUUUUCGGAUUUGUGUUUGUUUGCACCAAUUACCAUUUCUAGUAUCUGGUAUAAUAUUAUUUACUGGGUCAUUCUCCUUGCCUUCUCGUCUCAGGAAAAGCGUUAGUUAUAAAAUUUUUAUCGCUUGCACAAUCUCCAUUUUUACAUCCUGCCUGCUUUUUGGAUUACCAUGGCUCGCAUCUUGCCAACCAUGUCCCUUGGAUUCAACCGAAGACUGUCCCACAAUAGGUCGAUCUGGUAACUACAAGAAAUUCCAAUGCCCUCCUGGUCACUACAAUGAUCUUGCAAGCCUCAUUUUCAACACAAAUGAUGAUGCUAUCAGAAAUCUUUUCAGCAAGAACACUGACGCUGAGUUUCAGCACUCAACAAUGCUCAUUUUUUUUGUCACCUGCUUCAUUCUAAGUAUUAUUAGCUACGGGGUUGUUGCUCCAGCAGGUCUUUUUGUACCAGUCAUAGUUACUGGAGCAUCUUAUGGUCGCUUCGUUGGGAUGUUAUUUAGUUCUCACACAAAUCUUAAUCACGGUCUUUUUGCUGUGCUUGGGGCAGCUUCAUUCCUUGGUGGAUCUAUGAGGAUGACAGUUUCCUUGUGUGUCAUAAUCCUGGAAUUGACCAAUAACCUAUUACUGUUGCCAAUGAUAAUGAUUGUUCUUCUUGUUUCCAAGACUGUAGCUGAUGCUUUUAACGGCAACAUUUAUGACCUUAUUAUGAAAGCAAAGGGUUUCCCUUACUUAGAAGUUCAUGUCGAACCUUAUAUGAGACAACUCACGGUUGCAGAUGUUGUCACUGGCCCUCUUCAAGUCUGUCAUGGAAACGAGAAGGUUGGUAAUAUCGUACACAUCCUCAAGACCACAAAUCAUCAAGGGUUUCCGGUUAUCGACGAACCUCCGCAUUCUGAAUCCCCAGUUUUGUAUGGUUUAAUCCUCCGUGCUCAUCUUAUUACACUGCUAAAGAAGAGAGUUUUCUUGCGCACCCCUGUUCGAAUAGGUUCUGAUGCCUUCAGACAUUUCUCAGCAGAUGAGUUUGCAAAGAAGGGCUUAGGUAAUGUUGACAAGAUAGAAGACAUAAAAUUAACUGAGGAAGAGAUGGAAAUGUUCUUGGACCUGCACCCUUUUACCAACGCUUCACCAUAUACAGUUGUGGAGACAAUGUCACUAGCUAAGGCAAGUACACUCUUCCGUGAAGUCGGUUUGCGGCACCUGCUUGUUAUACCCAAGAGAACCACCGUAAGUAACUUAGCCAUUUUUAUUUUCCUUAACCUUAAUGUCUUCUGAUCUAAAAGUUCAUUGCAUUUCUAAUGCUUGAUGUUGUGACUGCAGGGAUCACCUGUGGUUGGCAUACUAACAAGGCACGAUUUCAUGCCAGAACACGUACUUGGUUUGCACCCAUUAUUGGUAAAUAGCAAGUGGAAACCAUUAAGGAUUGCAUUGCCACGUUUUCUUAAAAUAUUUUAGGGUGGAGAUCUACUCAUUCGGUAGUCGUUCUAGAUUGGGGGGGGGGGGGGCUUACCCUAAAACUAAGUUUGUAAAUAGUCUUGCUGUAGCCCUUCAUGGUUCAAUAGCUUUCUUUUAGCGUUUAUAUUUUCACAGCAUAAAGUUGUUGUAUCAAUCUAGCCCUUCAUUGCAGUAGUAAGUAGCAACGAGGGAAAUCAGGGAUGGUUCAACCUUCAAAAAUUUUUGCUUUGUUGAAAUUUAUUGCAUGCAGAGUUCCAUGCACUAAUAAAUUAGUAAGGCGCCCCUUGUGGAAUAGCUUUCAAAAUUCAUUGUUCUUUAAGGUUUGGUCUAGGCUAAAAGAAAAUCUAACCAAAAGUUAUAUAAACGAAACGUUAAAAGGUAAUCAUAAUAUAUAUAUUCUACUAAUUAAAACAAGAUAAUUGAAAGUGAUAUAUAUUAUACAAAUCCUCUUCAUUGUUACAGUAAGCUUGAAAAUAGGGGUAAAAGAAAGGUAAAAACACCAAAAAGACAAGAAAAAGCUAAUAAAGGUGAAUUUUAGUACUGUUUAGUCUCUCGUGCUAGCCUCGCCUUGAACUAAUUUUAAGAUAGUCGGCCCUUAUCCCCCACAGCUCUUCUGCCACAGAUUUCAUUUGAGGUCGGUCAUUUCUAGUCGGUGCUGCACAUUGAAAUGCCAAAGCAAAUAUAUUGGUUAAUAUAUUUGCAUCUACAACUUCUUCCAUCAUACAAUCCACCAGUUCAGCUACAUGCCCUUCAUUAUACUUAUGGAAUGCCUGUACGUAUACAUCAUGCAAGUUAUUAAAAGCAAACCCUGAAUAACCUGCUUGUUUUUUUUUUUCUGUAAUUUAAAGCAAACACGAAGGAACAAGCUUACCCAUAAAAGAGUGACACGCUCUUCGACUGGUCUUCUUAACUCCACUGGACGACGGGAGGUCAAAAUUUCUAUAAGUAAAAUCCCAAAGGCAUAAACAUCACUCUUGGCUGUGAGUUGAUAAGAUUUCAUGUACUCGGGAUCAAGGUAACCAACUGUUCCUUUCAGUUGAGUUGAAAUAUGGGUUUUGUCCGAGUCUAUUGGACCAACUUUUGCAAAUCCAAAUUCAGCCACUUUAGCUCGCAUGCUUUCUGUAAUAAGUAUGUUGGAUGAUUUCACGUCUCGGUGAAUAAUUUGCUUCCCUAAUUCAUCAUCAAAACAAUAAUUAGGCAUUGUUUUUUUUAAUCUAAAUUUUUAUUUUACUAUUUCUAACCUGCAUAAAGAUGGAGAUAAGUAAGGCCAUGAGCAACAUCGAUGGCGAUUUCAAGACGCUGAUUGAAAUCCAGGAUUUUGCCACGCUGACCUGCCAUAAAUAGCAGUAAAAAUAUACUAUUAUUGACCAAAAAAAACUUGUUUGGCAUUAAUGACCAUCAAGAGGCCUUACCAUCCAAAUGAUCUCUCAGCGUGCCAUUUGGUACAUAUUCUGUAAUAAUAAGCCGUUCAUCCCUUGUAUCCACAUAACCAAGUAGCUUCACGAGGUUCCUAUGAUCAAUCUUGGGUAAAAGUUCAACUUCAUUACUGAACUCAGUUUGCAGAUUCUCAAAAUGUUCCUACACAAACACAAAUACUCUUAUGUCAACUAUAUAGCAUAAACUAUACUAACAUAACGAAAAAAACCCUUCCAGCAUUGCCCUGCCAGUCAAUAAAUAGUAUCUCUCCACUCACCUUCUUUGCUCUUUUAAUAGCAACCACCUGACCAGAAUCUAACACGGCCCUGUAAACGGUUCCAAACCCUCCUUUACCGAUCCGAAGCUCCGGUGAGAAAUUACGGGUAGCUCGGGCUACCUGUUCUAUACUGAGAUGCAAUGAUCCCAUUCUUUUUAGUUUCGGAGAUGUUGACAAUACCCAAGGAUUAACGGUUUCCGAAGGAGAAUGGGUUUUCAUUUCCAAAUGAGAAGCAGAACGAACUGCAACCACAGAAAUAAACAGUGUGGAUCCUUUGUAAGAACUAUGGUUUCCAUGAACUGCUAAAAUAGACCAGAUAAAGCUUAAGGCUCACUUGAAUUUGUAUACUUUGUAAGAACAGCGUGGGCAGUUGCUCUCUUUCUCCGACAAACACUGCAACAGAGAUAAACACAACAUAUCAAAAGAGUUCCAGCUGCUGCUCCUAUCCCUAUUAUUGUCCCGUCCGAAUAUUUUCUGAAGGGUUUUUUAGGCUUCCCCUUCUUAUUAUCAGGAUGAGUUCUGACUCUAUCAUCUCCUUUCUCUGUUUCCUUCAAUAUUUUUCUUCCUAUAAACAAAAAUCAGCUGUCAAAAACAUAAUCCAUUGAUGAAAGCUCAAAGAAAUACUUUUUGGAGUGUAAAAUUAGAUAUAAAUCAUUACCGGAUGAAAGGUUCGAACCACAGUCAUUAGUUGCAGUGAAGCCUUCAAACACACACUCGUCUGCAUAGUGUAACUGCAGGGUUUUGCAGAACAAAACUUUAUCUACUAAAUCACCGUUCAAGUAAAACAAUUCAUGACCAUUUGAAGUUGAAUAAACUAUAUGAUCUGUGCCACAAAUCUUGGACUUCACUUGGAUGGAUGAGGCGAAGAAUGUUGAUAAUUGCAUAAACAGCAGUAGACUAACCAUGGAAGCAACCAUUCUUGAAUGAAUUAAUGCACUCAAACUCUCAUGGAAAUGAAAUUACAAAACAAGUAUCAUCCUUCAUCAUUUGGAAGGGAACAUGCAACAACUAAAACCAGUGGCGUCCCAUUCCCAAUACAAGGAACCAAUGAUAUUUCAACAAUCAUGGAAACAAAAAUAUCAAUGGGUUUCUCUUUUAUCUACUAAGUUAAAAAAAAAAAAGGAUAAUAAUAAAAGAAUUGAGGCAACAACAAGGAAAAGAUGCGACUAGAAAAGGGCUGCUGCAGCAAAGUUUACCAAAGUCUUCACGGUUGAGUUGACUGAAUCCCUGGCUAGAUCUUAUGGUCUAUAAAUCUUUUGCUAGCUGUUUUCCAUAAAACUAUCAAGUGUCUAAAAUUUCUUAUAAUUUUUGUUUUAUUCAAAGGAGCGUAAUGGAAGGUUUCCUUGAAUAUCACGUGUAAAAACGACGGAACGUGAGGUUGAAUUAUCUUAACCAGCUUUCUACACUACACUACAGUAGAUAUUAUAAGUUCAUUACUAUGACUUGAUUAACAGAAAAUUAAAAUAUUAGAUAAUAAUUGACUGGAGCCUCUUGUACUAAUAUUGCUAAAAAUCAAUUGCAUGGGGGCGAAAGGUGAGGAAAAUCAGAGAAGGUUCAUAUAAGUGAAAAUGUGGUUAUAUAUGAUUUAGGGACUAUGAGAAAGUAAAAAGUAUAAUAUUCCUUCUGAGUUUAUGGUUUUUGUUUUUUUUUUCUGGUCAACCUUCUGAGUUUAUGUUACGGCAUAGAACAGUCAAACAAUUCUUGGGGGAACCAAAAAUUUUUUCUCCAUUCAUCGCUUUUGAUUUUAACAGGGUCCAAUGUCCAUUUCAAUAAAUGCAUGUACUUGGUAAGAGUAGCAUAGCCGUUGGAUUGCAUCUUGAUUGGAUUUCAUUACGGAGGUUUUUAUAAUUUGGUACUUAAAUCGGUUAAGUUAUUCAAUUGAUACAAUUCGAUUUAAUUAAAUAAAUUAUUAAAUUUUUUAAAAAAUAAUAAAAAUUUGGUUUAUUCGAGUCAAUUGAUUUAAUGAUUUUCUUCAAACUAAUUUUUUAUCCGACUAACUGAUCCGGUCUAGUCUGAAUUCAAACAACAUUAAAAAUGAAUACAUUAAAUCCUAAUAUUAGAUGAAUGAGCGAAAUAACUCUUCGAUUAAAAUUAUAAUAUUAAAUGUUUAUUUUAACAUUUUAUAUACAAGAUGUAAUUAUAAACUUUAUAACUCGUGAAAUAAAAUCACUUAACCCUCCUUACAAUAAAUACAUUUAUUAAAAUUAAAAUUUUUAUUACUCGUGUGGGAAAACUACAUAUUUAAAAUAUAAACGUUAAAUGUAAAAUAAAUAAUUAAAUGUAUGAUUUGAAAUUAAUUAAUAAUAAUACAUGAAAUAUAUAUGAUAUUAAAAUAAAAAUAGAUUAAAUUGUGAGUGAAAUAAAAUUUAAACACGUAAAUAAAUUAUAUUAAGAAUACUAAUUGCACUACAAUUAUUUAUUGUGUUGUUGUCAUCAAUUUUGAGUUAAUGUCGAGUUGACUUGUGACAUCGGUACCAUCUCAAUUGACAUCGUUAUCAAUAUAUACAAUGAAUAGAGGUAAUAAAGCAUGCAUAACAAAAUUAAAAUGUAAAUAUUACAUUAAAAUAGAGUUUUGGUUUAGUGAUAAAGUUAAUGCUUUUUAUUGAUAUAAAUAGCACAAGUUUAAAUCCAAUCACAUUCAAAUUUUUAAUUUUUUUAAAAUUGAAAGGAUUAAAGUAUCCUCAAAUAAUAUAACAUGUUUUAAUUAUGAAACGACAUUUUUUAAUUUUUUUAAUUGAGUUGAUGCCCAGUUGACUCAUGACGCCGACUCAAUAAAGGGCUUAAAUAAUAGUAUAGAUAGAUAAGAGGAAAAAAGGGUUAAUUUCAUUAGGAUCCCUCAAAUUUUAACUUACAUUCUAAAUUAGUCCUUAAACUUUGAAAUAUUAUAACUAAGUCCUUAAAGUAUCUAAAGUGGAAUAAUAUAUAAAAUGUGGGUCAAAAUGUAAACACAAUAUGUACCUACAUAUGUAUAUUAUUUGAUCCAAGUGUUUUAAAAAAUGGUUCACAUAAAACCCAAACUAGUAUUUUUUUUAAAAAAAGUUCUCUAUAUCUAUUUUACGGUCCAUAAUCAAGCUUUGUAAUUAUCCCUUUUAACAAUGUUGUUUUCAAAGUUUAAACUUCGAUUCUCUUUUUGAUAUGCAAUAUAUUUUACAAUUACACCACUUGUUGAUAAUUCCUACUAACAUUUAUUAUCUAAUGGCAACUAAAUUAAUAAAUAUUUUAAAAAAUUUUAAAUUGAAGUUUAAGGAUAAAUUUAAAAUUGUACUAUAAUUAGAGUAAGGUUUGUUGCAUUUAACGUGCAAGAAAAAUGAUUCAAUGGGAAUUGAAAAAAUAAUUAAAAAAAAAAAACCAGGCGCUAAGCACAUGAGAAUGUGAGCAAACUUAGAGUAACAAAAUCCCGCAUUAAUGUUCUGACCAAUUCCAAAGUAUAAUUUCUUGCAAUUUCUGACACAUAUAUACAAAAAAUCAAGAUCUAAAAGCAAAAAAAAAUCAAUUAAUGUAAUUUACAGAACAAAUUUGUUCGAUUUCUCUCUGAUUCAGCCAUGGGUAACUAAUUUUAGAAUUGUUGAUUGAAUUUUAUUUAGUUAAAAAGAACUUCUCCUUCUAUUGAAUGGUAAUUCGAAGGUGAGUACUUUUUUUAUUAUUGAGUUUUGAAGUUCUGAUUCCAUAGCAUCAUAAGGAAGAUUUUGCAUGAACUAAAUAUUCAAAGGGGAAUUAUUAAAAAAUGUGGGCAAUGAUGGAAUCUUAAUUUGUGUUUUGCAAAAUUCAAGAUUUGUUUUUAAUGAGUUGAAGGAAGUAAUAUUUACUUUUAAUGGUUGUUUUUAGAAAAUUGAGAUUGAGAGUGAGAGAAAAUGUCUGGGGGAGACACGCAAAAUUGCUUGAGGAAAGCACUUGGAGCCAUCAAAGAUACCACCACUGUUUCAUUGGCUAAAGUGAACAGUGAUUAUAAGGUGGAUUUAGCUGUCAAAGAUGGUUAUUUCAACUAUGGCUGUUGCUGGUCUUUAUUGAUUAUGCAUUUAUUAUUGUUGUUUUGCAGGAUUUGGAUGUUGCUAUAGUCAAGGCCACAAAUCAUCAUGAACGCCCUGCAAAAGAAAAACACAUUAGAGGUGGAUACCCACAUUCUAAUUAUAGUGAUUCAGCACUUUAUGGAUUCGUUAUAAAUAAGACUUGGUUUUUUUCCCCCCCGUUUUCACAGCCAUUUUCGCUGCCAUUUCUGCUGCUCGGCCUCGGGCUGAUGUUGCAUAUUGUAUCUAUGCUCUUGCUAGGCGGUUGUCAAGGACACAUAAUUGGGCGGUAUGUUAAAACAUUAACAAACAUACCGUGAUUGAUGGGUGUUUGUUGAAAUUUGAUUGAUUGUCUGGAUGUUUGUUUGGCUGGCAUUUAGGUUGCAUUGAAAACUUUGAUAGUCAUUCAUCGUGCUUUAAGGGAGGUGGAUCCAACAUUUCAUGAAGAAGUCAUUAACUAUGGCAGAAGUAGACGCCAUAUGCUUAACAUGUCUCAUUUCAGGGAUGAUUCCAGCCCAACUGGUACCUUAUCUUCUAACAAUCCAUAUUUUCUAUUUUCAGAAAGCUGAAGAAGUUCCUUGUUUAUCCAAUCUUUAAGGGUAAACAACAUUGUUAGCCACCCGAUUAUUAGUUUAUUUAUUUUUUAUCACUCAAUUAUAAAAAAUUAUAAAAUGAUCACUUAAUUAUUAAAUUUUUUCGCUAUUGUGUCAAAUUUAAAAGCUUACAGGUCAUCUUUUUAUUGGCUGUUAAUGACAAAAGAAAGGACAAAAUUAAAUAAUUUAGUGAAAAUUUUGUAAUUUUUCAUAAUUUGAUAAUAUAAAAUGAAGCCUAUGUAUAGUUGGGUGACUAACAAUGUAGUUUAUCCAAUGUUUAACCAUUUUGCUGCACAGCAUGGGAUUGUUCAGCCUGGGUUCGCAAUUAUGCCUCGUUCUUGGAGGAGAGGUUGGAAUGCUUCCGCGUCUUGAAGUAUGACAUCGAGAUGGAAGGCCAUGUAAGAAGCUCUUGCUAUAUCUCUUUCUAUUUUCGGGAAGAAAUAAAACAUAAGCUCUUGAAGUUAUGCUUUAACUUAUGGCACAAGUUAUGCCAUCUGUUCUUAGAACUGCAACUAUAUCUCUUUCAGGCUCUUUAAUUUUUUCUUUUUUGUAACUGAACUAUUUGGAGAUUUCAUAAAUUUAAAUAUUCUUACAGAGAACCAAAGAUUUGGACACUGCAGAGGUGGUUGAACAUUUGCCAGCACUGCAACAGCUCCUUUUUCGAGUUCUUGGCUGUCAGGUGAGUACACAAUUCCUGUUGUGUUCCACAAAAUCCCCCCCACCCCCGCUUCUUUUUAGUGGGAAUAUUAAUAGAAUUUGUGUGCAGCCACUAGGUGCAGCUGCUCACAAUCUUGUGAUCCAAUUGGCACUUUCUUUGGUAUGUUCAUUUUUAAACAUAGUACCCAUCUAUGCUCCCAACAUUCUCUUGUCCUUACCCUUUAGUCAUUUCAAACAGGUUGCUUCUGAAAGUGUCAAAAUAUAUCGAGCUUUAAGUGAUGGUACCGUGAAUCUCGUAGACAAGGUAAGCUGUAAUUUUAACUUUCUAAACGAAACGCUUUUCUUUUCAGUAAAUCAUGUAUUUAUGAUGCUCUAAACAAUGACAGUUCUUUGACAUGCAACGUCCUGAUGCCAUGAGAGCUUUGAGUAUAUACAGGAGAUUCAGGCAACAGGUAAAUUGAUGUCCCAGUUCCUAGCGUAAAUGAAGAUGAUUUAAAACUCUAGGGGAAUUGUACACUUUGUAUUUGCAGGCAGAAGUUCUUUCAGAAUUUUAUGAAGUAUGUAAAAGACUUGAUGCUGGGCGUGGUGAAAGAUUUAUUAAGAUAGAACAGGUUAGGAUACUUCAACUUUAGUGUCUUCUGAAACAGAGUAUGUAAAAUUUUCUUUUUGGUGUAAUGUUGAAGCCCCCUGCAUCGUUUCUACAAGCAAUGGAAGAGUAUGUAAGAGAACCUCCACAGGCUUCAACAAUGCGUAAAGAUCAGGUCUACAAAAUAAUUUUGUAUCUAUUUCUAUUCCUUUGCAUACAUGCAGUUAUAUAUAAUAUUUGCAUAUAUUUUGAACAAGCAGAUUGAGAAACCCAAAGAAGUGUUGGCCAUUGAGUACAAGAAAGCCCCAGUGGUGCUGCAAUGUUCACCAUCACCUCCUUUGCCAGAACCUGAAGAAGAAGUGGAGAAAGUGGAAAAGCCUAUUGCUGAACCACCAGAUUUGUUGGUAAUUUCAAUGUCUCUUUUUUCAGUUUCAUCUGCAAAUUUUGUAGUUUCAUUUUGAACUUUUCUUUUUGUUGCUAGGGACUAAAUGAUCCCGCCCCAGUUGAUUCUAAAUUAGAUGAGAAGAAUGCCUUGGCAUUGGCCAUUGUUCCUGCUGGUGGUUUUCCAGCUGAGCAAACGACUUCUACUGCUGCUCAAGUUCAAGCAAAUGGUACUACGGGCUGGGAAUUGGCACUUGUCACUGCUCCAAGCUCAAAUGACAGUGCCACUGCCACUAACAAAAUGGUACAUAUUAGAAGGCUAUCGGCAUAUUAGACUGUAAUGACUUGUUCAUGUAUGUCUCACAGAUACUAUUUUAAUUGAAAGGCUGGAGGAUUCGACAAGUUUAUAUUGGACAGCCUGUAUGAGGAUGCACUCCAAAGAAGCAACCAAAACGUCAGCUAUAAUCCAUGGGAACCACCUCCAGCAUCUGCUGCUAUGAUGCAACAACCAAUACAAGAACCCUUUUACGGCUCUGACCCACCUUCAGUCCAGAUAGCCGCAAUGGCGAACCAGCAUCAGGCUUUCAUGCUGCAGCAGCAGAUGCUGAUGAUGAUGGGCCCACAACAGUCGCCUUCUAAUGCUUUCGUAAAUACUUAUGGAGCCAGUGUCAGCCCUUGCAACUCAGGUAUGCCUGUUCAGCCAUAUACAGGCCUUAUAUAGACACGCUGGACGAGAAAAAUGUCGAGGCACACGAAGAUGCAACGUUCGAAUUGUCAAAUGUGAACAUGUUUUGUAGCAUAUUUUGUCAAUGCCCAGCAAUUAGCGUAUUCUUUUGUUAUUUGAUUAUUUUCAUUGAUCAUCUGUAAUUAGCUUAGCUAUAUUAAGAAUAAACAUGUCUGUUUAUUUGUUUAAAUUUGUUUGUUUAUGGAUUCAUCAACUGGUUUUAAAAAUAUGUUACAAAUAGAUGUGUAUGUAUAUAUGUGAAAAAUAAAAAGAUGGGACAAAUCAGGAAAAGCCACUGCCUUGUUACAUCAACCAGGACGACAAAAAAAAGAGUCCAUCAAAAAACAAAUGCGAACAGAAUAUAAGCGAUGAUCAGCGAAAGCAGCAGUAUCAAUGUCACCCUGCAAGACAAACAAAAAUUCAUAAAUGAAAUUGCUGCUAAAAGACUGAACUAUGAUUAGCCUCUCUCUCUCUCUCUCUCUCUAUAUAUAUAUAUAUGUACUUACGUGAUCUUGCAAUUACUCCACCACAUGGCAUUCUUGUAACGACGAGAUUGCUUUUUGAAUCGAAGUGAAUUCCCCUGCAUUGUGCUUGCCUUUUCAACCAGCAACUCCAACCGGUCGCCUCUCUCCAAUACUUUUUCAAUGUUGUCAAUCAUUACACUACGUACCUGUACGUACAAAUUUAUGAAAAAAUUGGAAUUUCAGGGAUAAAAAUCAUAAUAUAUAUAUAUGCAAAAUUUGCCUACGUACGUACCUGGCUCAUUUCCCCUUUCAACCGGUUUAAUCUAUCAGCAUUGGGAUCAGUUGAAAAAUGUUCCAUUUGUUGACUCAUGACCCUGGAGAAUUCUUCAUUCAUAGCAUAACCCGAAGCUGACUGAAUAGCACGACCAUAUGUCUUUACAAAUUUUUGAUGAAUCUCUUCAAGGAAAGCAAAAGGGAUUCUCCCUAUAUACAUAAUUCAUAAUAUCAAUAAAAUUAAUCAAAUGCCAACCAAUGAGAAAUAAAGAAAAACAUGGAAUAAUUGUAAAGGAAGCUGCUUACUGCCGGAGGCAUCAUCGGCCAUGCAAAGAACGGUGAGGCCAUCGGUUCUUUUGACAUGAAAAAUAUAACGAUCAUGGGAAAAAGAAGAAUUGCUAUCGUUCUUUCCUUGGCUCAUCUUCUCCAAAAUCUGUCUUGCUACGGUGCUGGCAUUUGUUUGAGUAGCGCUAAACUCCGCCAAAACAACCUGCCCCCUUGCCACCAUCCCAUAUAAAAUCCCCAUUUUCUUAAAUGGGGAGUUGGCGAUUGAGGAUCGGUGGCGUGGAUGCUAGAUUUUUAAGGGCUGAGAAAUGAGAAAAUGGAACGGCAAAAUAUAUUUAUAUAAUAAAACAAAGAAAGAGAGGAGGGAAGGAAUAGAUACAGGGAUGAAUUGGCGAGUUUGACGGGUUAAAGAAACGUGGACCAAUCAUAUUGCGUUUCCAUGGGUGGGAAACAAAUGGAAAAAAAAGAAAGGGUGUACAGUCUGGAUAUGAUGCUGCUGCAAUCAAAACCGUCACUAACACUUCAUCGUUCCACUUUAUUUAAUCCCAUUAGCUCUCCGACUGUUUUUCCUUUUCCCUUCAUUUAUAGCAUAAUUAAUAAUUGUAACAAUACCAUAAUUUGUAAUCCCAUAAUAGAAUGCUAAAAUAUUUUGUUAAAUAAAGACUACAAUUCAGACAAAUAACUCAUAUGUGGUCAAGGUUUUGAUUAAGGGGUUGGAAGAUUUAAGUCGCAUCGUAUUUAGAAAGGUUUAUAGGGUUAUGCAUUCUGAAUGAUAGUGGAUCAAAAAUGUGCCCAGAGAAAAUAAUUUAAUUGCGGAUCGUUUGGCUAGACUCUGUUUAGCAUGGAAGUCAAGCUUAUAAAUUUUUUAUGUUCCUCCAAAUGAUGUGUUGGAGGCUCUUCAAUAAGACAAAACGGUACAUUUGAGCAAUAUUCAUUUAAUGUAAUCUUGUUUUAUUUUUCACUAAAAAAAAUUCAGUACCUAUCUAAGUAAUCCAAAAGAGAGAAACAUUCAUUUUUUGGUAAAAGAAUGGUGAAGGUACUUGGAUUUGAAGUCAAAUUACAUUUUAUCCCCUUUACUUAAAAAAUGAAUAAAUUAGUCACCAUGCGUUAAAUCAAAGAAUAAAUUGGUUGUUUCUAUUAAAUAUACAAUCAUUAUUUAUUGUUAAAAACUAACGUGACGGACAUAAUAACCAAACAAUAACACAUGAGCAUAUCACGUGUACUUUAUGCUGACAUACAAUGACUCGUUUUUAACCGUAAAAAUAGAUGAAAUAUUUAAUAAAAAGACCAACUUAUUCUUUAAUCUAAAAUAUAAGAAUUAAUUUACAUACUUUUUUGAAUAAAUUGAUAUGAUUUAAAAAUAUGUUCAUGAAUAAAUAUAUAUAAUUUAUUUUAUUUAAAUUGCAUGUUUUAAAUUUUAAUUCAAUUGUUCACUAUUUGAUUUUAUACAUUUCAUAGAUUACUUCGUAGAUUUAAAGUUAAAUUGCUUUUAGUGUUGAAAUAUUUUCCUUUAGGGAAAAAAGAUUUUCGAAAGUAAUUUAAGAAUCUAGAAAUUAAAAGGUUAAAUUUUGUUAUUAAUAUAUGUACUUUUUGAAAAUUGUGAAUUUAGUCCAUAUACUUUAAAUUGAUAAAUAUUAGUACAUGAACUUUUUGAAUUGGUCGAUUUCAGUCCGUGUAUUUUUUUAUUUUUGAAAUUUUAGUCUUGACUGAAAUAGUAGCAAUUAAAACCGUUUGGUUAAAUUCAAUUAUUAGUAUUGUAUUGUACUUACAGUUGUACAUUUAGUCAAUAUUCUCUAAUUGGAUCAUUCUAAGUCCCUAUAAUUUUUUUAAUUUUGAAAUAUAUUUGUCAACACAAAUGACCGCCAUUAAUCCAUUAACUAGAUUUUUAGCGAGUGAUAUGUGGAAAUAACAAGUUGAUAUGGAAUUAUAUAUAUGUUAAUAUGUUUGUCGCGUUAUAUUUUUUAAAUAAAAAACAUUAAUUUAAUAAAUUUAACAGUUAUUGUUCGGUGAGGACUAAAUAUGAUCAAAUUAAAAUACAGGUGUUAAAUCCACAACUUUCAUAAAGUACAGGGAUUAAUAUCAAAUUUUAAUCAAAUUAAAAUGUUGAUUGUUAUCCCAUUGUUUAACCCAAAGGCCCUAAUGAAUUUCUUUUUCUGGGUUUCAUUAAUUUUGGGUUGUGAAGUUCAGAGCUUGUCGACUGAUCUUUGGCCCAAAUUAAACUCAAUAUAUGUUUCACUUUUUAAAAUAAACCACAAAAUAUAGGAAAAUUAGUCAAAUAUUGCGUCCGUUAUCCUCCUUAAUUAGAUGAAGACAUAAAAUAUAAUUAUUAUAAUUUAAUUUUAAUUAAUGAAGAUAAUGUAUAAAAUUAAUGAUUACGUAGAUUCUUUAAUAAUAUCACCCUUUAAAAUAAACUAAAAAUAACAACCUUAUAAAGAAAUACGAAAAUAUAGAUAGUAAAACUAGUCAUACGUGUCAAUACAUAAUUAAAAUAUUUCAAGAUUUCAUAUUAUAUACGCUUUGCAUUUGAUUAACUAUUAAUUAUUUUUAAAUUAUAUUACAAGUCCAUAUUUGAAUAUUAAAAUAUACUUUUAAGUCUUUAUACUUUUUGUAUAUUUAAAAUUUAGUAUUUUUAUUUUUUUUAAAUUUAGUUUAUCUAAUUUUCAAAAUUAAAAUCCAGAUUCAAUUAUUAACACUAUUAAAUUAUUUUAUUAAAUUCACUAGUAUAACAUUUUGAAAUUUAAAAAAAAAAUACUCACUUGAUAGUCAUGUAACAAAAAAAAAACAUUACAAUGAUAUAAAAAUUUGAGGUAUCAAAUUAUGUCAAUAAAUUAAAAUAUAAAAAUUGAACCUUAAAUUGAGUAUACGCAAAGAUCAAAAUUGAAAUAUGACCGUUGCUAUAUAAUCUAAAAUUUAAGUAUAGUGCAAAGAUUAAAAUUAAAAUUUUAUUAUUUUUUAUAAAAUGCCAAAAAGAGAGAGAGAGAGAAGAGGAUGACCUUCUUUUUAUAUAUAUAAUUAUAUACAUCCAAAAUUUAAAUUACAAAAUUAAAUAUUUUUUAUUGAACUUAUUGGGUAAUAGUUUCGUUUGAAUAAGAUACGAUUUACCAUUUGACUGAUGAGGUAUAUAGUCAAUGGUUAACCUAACUUGGAUUGGUUUAACAAACAUAAUGAUUUCCUGAAAGUUUGAAAUCGAUGAUUAAGAGUGAAAUCAUAAAUCAAUGAUUACACGCAAUGGAAUAUUAGUACAAAUAUUCUAAUGCUUUAAAUAAAGUUAACUUUUACUUAAAUAAAAAAAAAUUACUGUUGAUCCAUUAUACUUUUUAUCUUCCAAGUUCCAAUAAAAUUCUAAAAAAAUUAAUAAAUUAUACAAUCUAAUAAUCCAUUUAAAUUUUAAAGUGAAUGCUUCGUAAAAAAGUUUUUGGAGUUGAAUUUGAAUUUUUUUUUCACAUUAAUAUUUAUAUAUUUAUAUUAUUUUAAUUUUUAUCUGAGUUAGUGGAUUAAAAAUAUCGGUAAAUUAUUUCAAAGUUUUCAUUUAAAAGUCAUUGAACUGUUAAAUUUAUUGUUGUAUGGUGUUUUUGUUCGUACCGCCUACAUCAAUUGAACGCUUUCUUUCCUCUUAUUUUCUUCAGUUAAGUGAAUCAAAAUUUAAACAUCUUUUUAUUUUGAUCUUCAACACUGGCUGCCAGAUCAACUUGGUUCUGAGAUAUGUUAUUCUACUCGUUAACGGACACUGAUCCACCAUAUCGAUUGUUGGAUCAUCGUUUAGAACUCGUUAGCUGAACUCAAAAAAACAAACAAACAAACAGCCUAGUAAUUUAAAUAAGAACAUUUGAAUAGUUUAAUGACUUAAAUAAAAAUUUUUAAAUAGUUUAACAACCAUUUUAUAAUUUUUUAAAAUUUAAAUAAUCAAAACAUAAAUUUUUUUGAUAAUUUAGUGACAUGUGACCUUAAAAUUAAAAUUCCUUAGCAUGGAAGUAAAUCCAAAUUAUAUUAUGUAAAACGACUAACUUUUAGGGACCAUUUCUAAAUGAAUUUAUCUUCUAUUACAAUAUUUGCUCUUAGAUGGUAGGAAUGGCGUAAAGUUCAAUUGUAAGUACAAGUGAUGUAUCAUUCAAAUAUAAAAUUUUGUAUGAAUCCAGUUUUUCCACCACAAGCUUUGAUGAUGACGGAGAAUGACGAAUCAGGGAGAUAGAAAAGGGGGAAACAAGACAUAGACAAUAGACAAUGACAGCGUGAGAGACCCAUCACAUCGGGUUGAGGAAGACGAAGGAAAGGCACAAAUCACGGAUCAAGAUGAAUACAAGAAAAAGCCAUGCAUUCACGGACGGACGCUCCCUCUAUCACUAAUAUUUUUGUUUAUUUAUAUAUAUUUCUUUUAUCGUGGCCGUUAAUUAUCUUAACAGGAUUGAAUUGAGUAUUGAUCGAAAUAUUAAUUCGAAUAAAAAUAUUAAAUCAAUGGAAUCAUAAAUUGAUAUAAAUUGAUUAAAUUAAAUUAAAAUUUUAAUUGAAUUGGCUCGUGAAUUAUUUUUUUAUUUAUUUUUAUAUAUUUUAAUAAUUUAUUUAAUCAGUUCGAGGGACCGAUAAACCAAUCACAUUACCGGUUCGACCAAAUCUUAUGGCCUUCCCCACCGCCAUUCUCUCCUCUCUCCCUUGCAACAACAAUUUCACAUGCUUUUGCUGUACACCAAACCAAACAUGCGUUUGCUUUUUUUUUCUUUUUUUAAUUAGUGAAGUUUCCCUUUUAAUAUUUAUAUAUCUCAACCUUUUCUAAUUACUAUCAUGAUCAUAAAAGAGUUAAGAGGUUGUGUUUUUUCGUUUUAGGUAUAAUAUGCAUUUUAGUCCUCAACAUUUAUAUCUUUUUGUUAAUUUGACUUUUUUUUUUCUUUUAGUUAAAAUUGACUUUUAAUCUUUUCUAAAAAUAGUAAAAUUUAACUAUCAAUUUAAGUUAAAAGAUAAAUAGUGUUAUGUCAAUAUAAAGUAUGCAUAGACUGACAUAUGGGUUUCAAUUAACAUUUCCAUUAAAAAAAACUAUUUUUUGACUUUUUUUGAAUGAUUAAUGAUUAAAUUUAAUUUAAAAAAGAAUAAAGAUCAAAUUGAUAAGAAGUGUAAAUAUUGAGGACUAAAUCUGGCAUUAUGCCUUUUUAAAUGUUUCAUUUUAAAGGAUGAAUAUAAUUCUACCAUGGAAUCUAAUAAUUUCAUUGUUAAAAGUAAUUGGACUUAAUUAGGUUUCAAUGAACGGGGUGUUUCUUUUAAUUAUUCCGCUUUAUUUUAUCAAAAUUAUUGUAGGUACCUUUAGGUAAUGACAAGAUUGUUUGUCAUUAACUUAAUGGUAUAUGUUUCUUUUGAGAAAAUUUUCAGAUUCUGAUAUAACUCAGCAUAUACUAUGCUAUGGUGCCAUAACUGAAUUUGAGGAGACAUAUGCAAUGACAAGGAAAAUAAAUUUUGCUCAAUUCUAAUAAUAAAAGUAUCUACCAUGUGAGAAUUUACCAUGUCCCCAUAGCAUCUGCCAAAUGAACAGGUUAAAUUUUUUUUAAAUACUACGUAAAAAUGAUUUUUGAAUCAAUUUUUAUAAUUUCAAGGUUAAAUUUUGCUAUCAGCCUCUCUACUUUGGAAAAAGUUAUGGAUUUAGUCCUUGUGUUUGAAUUUGAUCAUUUUUAGUCUAUGUACUUUUUAAAUUUUGUUUCAGUCAUCACUAAACGGCAACUAUUUAAAUUUAUUAUGCUAUGCUAUUUCAAAAAUCCAAUGCAGUAUUAUCAUAUGUUUAGCUCCAUGUCAUUUCGACAUAUUACUCGCUAAAAUUCAGUCGUGUCAAGAUUGAAAUAUCAAAAUUCGAAAAAGUAUAGAGACUUAGAAUGAUCCAAUUGGAGAAUAUGGACUAAAUCUAUAAUUGUACGCAUAAUACAUGACUAGUAAUUGAAUUUAAUUACUUGGAUUUAAUUGCUACUGUUUGAGUCAUGACUAAAAUUUUAAAAUCUGAAAAGUAUAAGAACUAAAUCCAUAAUUUUAGCAAAAUACAGGGACUAAUAUAACAAUUUAACCAAGAAUAAUUCAGGGGCAAACAUUUUGAGAGGAUGAAAUGUAAUUUUAUUAUUAUUACUUUAUAAUUUUAUAAACUGUAAAAGAAGUUAAAAAUAUUGUUUUUAGGGGGUGGGGACCUGCCAGCCCCUGAAACAAUUAUAGAAUUUUGAACUAAUCUAUUUGAGAGGCUGUGUAAGGAUUUAAUAGAUUUUGUGUAUUAAUCACCAACCAUUUUAUAUGUGAAUAGCUGUCUUUUUUUGGCACGGUUUAUUACAAUGAAUGAAGCUGAGGGACUGAGAUAAUUGUAUGCAUAUAACGAUACUUGAAACCAUGAAUAUUAGGGGUCACUUCCCAUAAAAAAUAUUAGAAUCAUUGAUUUAAACUAAUAAUGCAGUGGGGGCAUCCAAUUUCUCUAGCUGGAAAUGAAAGAUGUAAAGCAAUAUUUUUAAAUAAAAAAUAAAACCCACCAUAUCAACAUGUGAUUAUACAGGCAAGAGGAUGGUCUAAUCAUCUCGAUCGGUCAGCUAUCAUGUGGCCCCCUAUGUUGCAUUAAUCAAAAUAUUUUUAUUUUGCUAGAUUUUAUAAUUAUUAUAUUUCAUCGUAAUUAAUUACAUUCAAACAUGUCUUAAUCGUGGUUUUAUAUUUAAUCCAAAACUUUUAUUCUCAUCCGUGAAUAUGGCUUUUACUUCAAAAGAAAACACUAAAGUGCUUUGUGGCCUUUAUUUCCAAAAAAGACAUGACAUUUGGCUUAGCAGAUAAUAUAAAAUAACCAGAUGGCGUUAGACCAUAUCGAAGAGAGGUUACUGUUAGCAGAUUAUUUACAACAUUAAAAGUAACAUAAAAAAACACUAAACCGAUAAUCAAGGGUAACAAAAAUUUAUAGAGAUAGAAUGAGGCAUAUCUAAGUUGUGAACCUAUGUCAUGCGUAGGUCAACCAUACAACUUGUACGGCAGUCCAUACAAAGGUAGGGUCAGAUUUUGUGGUAUAACCCGGCCGCUGUGUAUUUUCUUUAAAGAGAAGGCAAUACAUCGUCAAGAAGACACAUUUUACUUGGAUAAUAUGUUUUAAUUGUCCUUAAUUCCCAUAUUACUAUUUUUUUGAUAUAGAAUUUGGUUACUUCCAACUGCUUUAUAUUUAAAUAUUCAACGUUUUCAGAUAUGCAUGAGGAGAAUAUCGUAAAAUCAAACUAAAAUCUAUUGUUUCUUUCUAAAUAAAUACGGAUUAGAUAGCAGAGAUUAAAUCUUUAUAUGUACACAUCCUUGUAUUUGUAAAGGCAAAGUAAUAGAGUGCCAACUUGCAAAUUUUGGCAGCUGCCUUUCGAACCAAGCCCAUCUUCACGUGAUGUGCUUCUGCUUCUAGGGCUUGUUCAUUUUUGUUUGUUUUCUUCUACUCUUUGAUAUUUUGCUUAUAAAUCUUGCUUCUUUACAAUCCUUUUUUACACUCAAUUCUCUCUUUGGGUUUGAAAAAUGGAGUCCAACACCAAAAUGUCAGCUCUUCUUUUGCUUUGCAUGCUUUUCAUUUCUUCAGUGACACCAAUUCUUGGGUGUGGUUCAUGUGGGAAAGCACCACACAAGCAUCGAAAGCCUAAGGGAAAGUCCCCUAAAGGUCCCAUCACUUUGCCUCCCCUUGUGAAACCUCCAAUCAAGUUGCCACCGGUUGUUCCUCCAAUAGUUAAGCCACCCAUUGACCUCCCUCCGGUUACAGUCCCUCCAAUUAACCUCCCUCCAGGGACGGUUCCUCCAGUAACUAAGCCACCAAGUGGGAAACCCUGCCCAACACCACCAACCAAGGACACUUGCCCCAUUGACACACUGAAAUUGGGUGCUUGUGUGGAUCUGNNNNNNNN